UUUCUUUUGGGUAUCCUAUGAAGACGCACUUCUCCGAUUUGGGUUUGAGCUUAUCAGGUUGAAACCUUUUUCACAUAAGCAUUGCAACCUCAAACUUUAAGAAACGACGGCUUAGGUUUCUUGCCAAACCAUAGUUCAUACGGUGUCGUCUCAACGGAUUUAGAUGGUGCCCUAUUUAACGUGAAUGUAGUUGUCUCUAAUGCAUAACCCCAAAACGAUGGUGGUAGAUCGGUAAGAGACAUCAUAGAUCGCACCAUAUCUAAUAAAGUACGGUAACGACGUUCGGACACACCAUUACUAUGUGGUGCUCCAGGUGGCGUGAGUAGUGAAACUAUUUCACAUUGUUUUAACUGAAGGCCAAACUCGUAACUCAAAUAUUCGUCUCCGCGAUCAGAUCGUAGAAACUUUAUUUUCUUGUUACGAUGAUUUUCCACUUCACUCUGAAAUUAUAUGAACUUUUCAAAUGUUUCAGACUUAUGUUUCAUCAAGCAGAUAUACCCAUAUCUGCUCAAAUCAUCUGUGAUGUUCAGAAAAUAACGAUACCCGCCGCAAGCCUCAACACUCAACGGAUCGCAUACAUCAGUAUGUAUUAUUUCCAGUAAGUCAGUUGCUCGCUCCAUUGUUUCAGAGAACGGAGUCUUAGUCAUCUUGCCCAUAAGGCAUGGUUCGCAAGCAUCAACUGAUCAUAAUCAAGUGAUUCCAAAAGCCCAUCAGCAUGGAUUUUCUUCAUGCGCUUUACACCAAUAUGACCUAGACGGCAGUGCCACAAAUAAGUUGCACUAUCAUUAUUAACUUUGCAUCUUUUGGCUUCAAUAUUAUGAAAAUGUGUAUCACCACGAUUGAGAUCCAACAAACCAUUUUCAUUGGGUGUAUGACCAUAGAAGGUAUUAUUCAUGUAAACAGAACAACAAUUAUUCUCUAAGUUACAUGAAUAACCGUAUUGCAAUAAACAUGAUCCAAUCAUAUUCAUGCUCAACGCAAACACUAAAUAACAUUUAUUUUAGGUUCAACACUAAUCCCGAAAGUAUAGGGAGUGUGCGAUGAUGAUCAUAUCAAUCUUGGAACCAUUUCCAAUACACAUCGUCACUUCACCCUUAACUAGUCUCUGUUCAUUCUGCAACUCCCGUUUCGAGUUACUAUCCUUAGCAACUGAACUAGUAUCAAAUACUGAGGGGUUGCUAUAAACACUAGUAAAGUACACAUCAAUAACAUGUAUAUCAAAUAUACCUAUGUUCACUUUGCCAUCCUUCUUAUCCGCCAAUUACUUGGGGUAGUUCCGCUUCCAGUGACCAGUCCCUUUGUAGUAGAAGCACUCAGUUUCAGGCUUAGGUCUAUACUUGGGCUUUUUCACUUGAGCAGCAACUUGCUUGCCGUUCUUCUUGAAGUUCCCCUUUCUUCCCUUUGUCCCUUUACUUGAAACUAGUGGUUUUUGUUUACCAUCAACACUUGAUGCUUUUCUUGAUUUCUACCUUCGUUGAUUUCAGCAUCACGAAGAGCUUGGGAAUCGUUUCCGUUAUCCCUUGCAUAUUAUAGUUCAUCACGAAGUUCUACUAACUUGGUGAUGGUGACUAGAGAAUUCUGUCAAUCACUAUUCUAUCUGGAAGAUUAACUCCCACUUGAUUCAAGCGAUUGUAGUACCCAGACAAUCUGAGCACAUGCUCACUGCUUGAGCUAUUCUCCUCCAUCUUUUAGCUAUAGAACUUGUUGGAGACUUCAUAUCUCUCAACUCGGGUAUUUGCUUGAAAUAUUAACUUCAACUCCUGGAACAUCUCAUAUGGUCCAUGACGUUCAAAACGUCUUUGAAGUCCCGAUUCUAAGCCAUUUAAGCAUGGUGCACUAAACUAUCAAGUAGUCAUCAUAUUGAGCUAGCCAAACGUUCAUAACAUCUGUAUCUGCUCCUGCAAUAGGUUUGUCACCUAGCGGUGCAUCAAGGACAUAAUUCUUCUGUGCAGCAAUGAGGAUAAACCUCAGAUCACGAAUCCAAUCCGCAUCAUUGCUACUAACAUCUUUCAACUUAGUUUUCUCUAGGAACAUAUCAAAAAUAAAAUAGGGGAGCUAAACACGAGCUAUUGAUCUACAACAUAGAUAUGCUAUACUACCAGGACUAAGUUCAUGAUAAAUUUAAGUUCAAUUAAUCAUAUUACUUAAGAACUCCCACUUAGAUAGACAUCCCUCUAAUCCUCUAAGUGAUCACGUGAUCCAUAUCAACUAAACCAUGUCCGAUCAUCAAGUGAGAUGGAGUAGUUUCAAUGGUGAACAUCACUAUGUUGAUCAUAUCUACUAUAUGAUUCACGCUCGACCUUUCGGUCUGAGUGUUCCGAGGCCAUAUCUGUUAUAUGCUAGGCUCGUCAAGUUCAACCUGAGUAUUCCGCGUGUGUAACUGUUUUGCACCCGUUGUAUUUGAACGUAGAGCCUAUCACACCCGAUCAUCAUGUGGUGUCUCAGCACGAAGAACUUUCGCAACGGUGCAUACUCAGGGAGAACACUUGUACCUUGAUAAUUAGUGAGAGAUCAUCUUAUAAAGCUACCAUCGAACUAAGCAAAAUAAGAUGUAUAAAAGAUAAACAUCACAUGCAAUCAAAAUAUGUGACAUGAUAUGGCCAUCAUCAUCUUGUGCCUUUGAUCUUCAUCUUCAAAGCAUCGUCAUGAUUUCCAUCGUCACCGGCAUGACACCAUGAUCUCCAUCAUCUUGAUCUAUAUCAAUGUGUCGUCACAUGGUCGUCUCGCCAACUAUUGCUCUUGCAACUAUUGCUAUCGCAUAGCGAUAAAGUAAAGCAAUUAUUUGGCGCUUGCAUCUAAUGCAAUAAAGAGACAACCAUAAGGCUUCUGCCAGUUGCCGAUAAAUUCAACUAAACAUGAUCAUCUUAUACAACAACUUAUAUCUCAUCACGUCUUGACCAUAUCACAUCACAACAUGCCCUGCAAAAACAAGUUAGACGUCCUCUACUUUGUUGUUGCAAGUUUUACGUGGCUGCUACGGGCUGAGCAAGAACCGUUCUUACCUACGCAUCAAAACCACAACGAUAGUUCGUCAAGUUAGUGCUGUUUUAACCAUCACAAGGACCGGGCGUAGCCACACUCGGUUCAACUAAAGUUGGAGAAACUGACACCCGCUAGUCACCUGUGUGCAAAGCACGGCGGUAAAACCAGUCUCGCGUAAGCAUACGCGUAAUGUCGGUCCGGGCCGCUUCAUCCAACAAUACCGCCUAACCAAAGUAUGACAUGCUGGUAAGCAGUAUGACUUGUAUCGCCCACAACUCACUUGUGUUCUACUCGUGCAUAUAACAUCAACGCAUAAAACCUGGCUCGGAUGCCACUGUUGGGGAACGUAGUAAUUUCAAAAAUUUCCUACGCACAUGCAAGAUCAUGGUGAUGCAUAGCAACGACAGGGGAGAGUGUGUCCACGUACCCUCGUAGACCGAAAGCGGAAGCGUUAGCACAACGCGGUUGAUGUAGUCGUACGUCUUCACGAUCCGACCGAUCCAAGUACCGAACGCACGGCACCUCUGAGUUCAGCACACGUUCAGCUCGAUGACGUCCCGCGAGCUCCGAUCCAGCAAAGCUUCGAGGGAGAGUUCCGUCAGCACGAUGGCGUGGUGACGAUGAUGAUGUUCUACCGACGCAGGGCUUCGCCUAAGCACCGCUACGAUAUUAUCGAGGUGGACUAUGGUGGAGGGGGGCACCGCACACGGCUAAGAGAUCCAAAGGAUCAAUUGUUGUCUCUCCAAGGGGUGCCCCCCUCCCCGUAUAUAAAGGAGUGGAGGAGGGGGAGGGCCGGCCCUCUCUAUGGAGCGCCCUAGGAGGAGUCCUACUCCCACCGGGAGUAGGAUUCCCCCCCCCCCCCGCCUUCCAAGUAGUAGGAGUAGGAGUCAAGGAAAGGGGAAAGAGAAGAGAAGGAAGGAGGGGGCGCAGCCCCUCCCCCUAGUCCAAUUCGGACUAGGCCUUGGGGGGCGUGCAGCCUCUCCUCUCUCUUUCCCCUAAAGCCCAAUAAGGCCCAUAUACUCCCCGGAGAAUUCCCGUAACUCUCCGGUACUCCGAAAAAUACCCGAAUCACUCGGAACCUUUCCGAUGUCCGAAUAUAGUCGUCCAAUAUAUCGAUCUUUAUGUCUCGACCAUCUCGAGACUCCUCGUCAUGUCCCCGAUCUCAUCCGGGACUCUGAACUACCUUCCGUACAUCAAAACACAUAAACUCAUAAUAUAAUCGUCAUCGAACUUUAAGCGUGCGGACCCUACGGGUUCGAGAACAAUGUAGACAUGACCGAGACACGUCUCCGGUCAAUAACUAAUAGCGGAACCUGGAUGCUCAUAUUGGCUCCCACAUAUUCUACGAAGAUCUUUAUCGGUCAAACCGCAUAACAACAUACGUUGUUCCCUUUGUCAUCGGUAUGUUACUUGCCCGAGAUUCGAUCGUUGGUAUCUCAAUAUCUAGUUCAAUCUCGUUACCGGCAAGUCUCUCUACUGGUUCCGUAAUACAUCAUCCCGCAACUAACUCAUUAGUUACAAUGCUUGCAAGGCUUAUAGUGAUGUGCAUUACUGAGUGGGCCCAGAGAUACCUCUCCGACAAUCGGAGUGACAAAUCCUAAUCUCGAAAUACGCCAACCCAACAAGUACCUUCGGAGACACCUGUAGAGCACCUUUAUAAUCACCCAGUUACGUUGUGACGUUUGGUAGCACACAAAGUGUUCCUCCGGUAAACGGGAGUUGCAUAAUCUCAUAGUCAUAGGAACAUGUAUAAGUCAUGAAGAAAGCAAUAGCAACAUACUAAACGAUCAAGUGCUAAGCUAACGGAAUGGGUCAAGUCAAUCACAUCAUUCUCCUAAUGAUGUUAUCCCGUUAAUCAAAUGACAACUCAUGUCUAUGGUUAGGAAACAUAACCAUCUUUAAUUAACGAGCUAGUCAAGUAGAGGCAUACUAAUGACACUCUGUUUGUCUAUGUAUUCACUCAUGUAUUAUGUUUCCGGUUAAUACAAUUCUAGCAUGAAUAAUAAACAUUUAUCAUGAUAUAAGGAAAUAAAUAAUAACUUUAUUAUUGCCUCUAGGGCAUAUUUCCUUCAACCGCACCUUCUGUUGAAGAGUUCUGGUAUCCGAAGCCUUUCUAGCCGUACCGGCAAUACUAGCACAUAUAUUCCAGCAAGUUCCACUUUGCUGAUUUUACUCUGAUGCUUACGGUUUUCCCGUUAUAUCUACACUAUGAUCUGUGUAGCUGCUUUGUGUCGCGCUAGCAGCAGUCCACUCUUGAAGCUAAACACUGCAAUGACUUACAAAAUUGGCACCAAGGCAUUGAGUGCCAUUCUGGAUGCAAUGAAACUCAUACGCUCCCCACCUGUUGACUCUUGUUCAGAAUAUGAUCCUAAUGACUCUUGUUCAAAAUUCCCACAUAUAGAGAGACAGCAUGGAAUUGCAUUUCUUUGGGCGCUGUGAUUCAUCAUGAGUGGGCAACCAACAUUGUAUGCAAUUAAGCGGAACCUCAAGAAUAUGCUUCCUCUUCUGUUCUUUAACAUGUUCCUCUUUUGUUAUUCUGUAUUUAGUACGUACAGUAUGUUCCUUGUCAGGAAGGGGAGUAGGGACAUCUGCAGUCAACAGCUGAUAGAGCUGGCAUGUACUUGAUCGAUAAGCUUUCAAUUACUAGCGGCAAUACAACACCGUAUUUUCAAGCCAGUUCCACUUUCCCGAUUUAUAUAUCGUGGUUAUGGUGUACCCCUUUUAUGCACACUAUGAUCUGCCUAGUUGCUAUGUGCUCUUGUUAUCAUGGUUUGGCAAUAAACUCUCUAUACAGUAUAUUUUGAACCUAUCAUCUGCCAACUAUCCUUACUUCUGGAGCCUAUUUUUUGUGUACUUGUGCCAGAUUAUAUAAAUGCACCCACCAUAUUACAGCACACAUGAGCUCUCUCAUCAGAAUCCAGUGAUAGCACACAAGUGUUUACAGGGGCGCCCCUAUAUUAGAAUAUCCUCUGCAUUACAAAGAUAAUCUCACAACUAUUUAUGUUUUCAUGGUUCUCAGAUAUUAUACGUAAUUACAGUGAAUAUCAGAAUCCGCGCAUCAGAAGAAUAUUGUGGAACACUGCAAUGACUUACAAAAUUGGCACCAAGGCAUUGAGUCCAUUAUGGAUUCAAUGAAACUCAUACGCUCCCCACCUGUAGAUUCUUGUUCAGAAUAUGAUCCUAAUGACUAUUCUAACCUCGAGGAGUCAAAGGAAGAUGGCCUGUCAUGUUCACCCAUCAAGGUGCCUGCUCUAAUUUGGCAAGGUUUUAUUGAUUGCACGUAUCUUGCAUAUGUUGUCUUGCAUUUCCUUUACUUUGUUGCACCGCCAUCUGCUUAGUUUACUCAUCAUAUAUGUCGAGAUGCCAUGCCCAUCCAUUAUCAAUACAUAUUCCAUCUGUCAUCAUACCAUGUUUUUCCACUCAAAUGAUGUUCUUGUGCAUCAGACAUCAAAAAGGAAGAUGGUGAUUGCCGAACCUGAAGGAGCACCAGGAAAGUCCAUGAAAAACGUGGUUGUGCCGGAGAAAUCAGACAGCACCCCACUUAUAUUGGUUGUACAACCAGUGACACAAAACGUAGGACCGACUCCAGCAGACUGUACCCAUACUUCACUGGCCACACCACUAGCCCCACCACACAGGACCUGCACUCCAGCAAAAGGUAUGCCGAUUUUAGUUGCCAUAGCACCAGCCGUACCACAAAAAAAUCCCACUCCAGCAAAAAGUACAGCAAGUCCACCGGCCGAAGACCUAUCCCAACUGCAGAGACGGCCAAUUCCUACAGAUUGGAACCCCAUUCCAGUUAUUCCCAGUUUAAAAGACAAUGCUUUCAAUGUUGUUAGCGACUACGUGCAUAUAUUCCCAUCAUUGGAAGAUUAUAGUGAAGACAAACACCAUUUUCACAUCUUCCUGUCCCACUUACGUGUAAGUGCUAUUAUUCAUGGUGAUUAUUUUCCUGUUUUCUCCUGAUUGAACACAUCAAUGAUUUACAUUACAUUGUUGUAAGUAGGCGAGGGUCAAUCUGGAUAGUCAUGACGAGCAAAGCUUGCUUGCGCUUUUCAAGGAAGCAUUGCAGCAGUAUUGGUGUUACCUGAGGAAAUCACACUUUGAUGGCAAGUCUAUAAACGAAUUUCUGGUGAAGUCUCCUAUGCUAAAUUUAGAAGACAUUGAAUGGAAAAACCUUGUUAUGCACUGGUCUCGUUCCGAGGAUGAGGUACGGUCUAUGAUAUCGCAUGACAAUUUGAACUUCUACUUUUUUGCAUGUGCCUUAUGGAUCUUUUUUGCAGGAAAUCUGCUCAAAAAAGAAUUCCGGUUUGAAAAGAACGACAGGAUAUCGCAAAUAUGUUGCCCGCUGCUUUGCUCUUGUUAGUACCUGUUGUCCUGUAUCAUUGUACUUGCAUACAUACCUGGUUCAUUAUGUGACAGCAGUAUGCAUGAUAGCUUGCUUAUCAAUUGUUUGCUCCAAAUUAUCUGAUCUGUAUGAAUGGUUACAUUAGUGUAGAAUAUAUCCAAUGCCAAUGAAAUUUUUUAGCUCUGCAUUGUUCUUGUAAGUACCCGCUGUCCUUUAUUAGUGUACUUAUAUUGACAGGUAGUUGUUCAUGUACCAUCACCCUGCAGCUUAUUUUCCUUUGCCCUCCAUUUUCUACACAUAAGAUCUAUAUUUACUCUUACCAUAAGGUUGGAUAACACCGAUGGUACUGAAGAAGUUUAGCUCUGCAUUGCUCUUGGCUGUACCUUUUGCCUGUAUCGCUGUACUUACAUUUAUAGCUACUUGGUUAUGUAGCAUCACUCUUCAUCUUAUCUUAAAUAUUCUCCAUUUUUUCUUAUAUUGUCACAUCUAUAUUUACUCUUAACAAAAUGUAGAAUAAAGGCAAUGCUUAUGAAGAAGAUUCUGUGGUAAACUUCUUGAAUUGCCCCCCCCCCCCAUCAGCAUGGACAAGGGCUUUAUAGAGCCUGCCUUCACCAAUAAUGUAAGUUUGUCCUUCUCAAGCCUUCAAACUUUGUUGUGUAUAUUUGGUUAGGCAUGACUGCAACAGCUGUUUAUUUUUGGUGUUUGCAUCAAAUUGCAUGUUUAAAGUUUAUUAUGUACUCCAGUUCAUAAACAAAAGUUUGUCCUUCUCAAUUUAAGUUUUCAGUUGUACAACCAAGUUCCUUCUUCAUACCAUGUAAAUUAAACUAUACAGAGCAAGUGAUCUUAUUUUGCCAAUCUGAAAUGGGAUAAAUUGACAGUACACUAACCAUUGAUACUUAUGAGUUCUUGAUCUGUAAUCCAGUGGUGUCGUGAAGCUGCCAACUCCUUCACAAUGUCAUUUCCUGCCAUGUCUUGACCUGAACAAUACCAUAUUGUGUUAAUGCUAUUUUAAACUGUGUCACUUUAUUCGUCAGUAAGAAAUGUGAUGAAUUGUCAGCACUGAUACUUAUAUGUGCAAAACCUGUCAUCUGUCUGCUUGUUUAUCUUUCAGAGUGAGGAGGAUAUAAGUGUCAAACAAGUGCAGUCUCACCAGCUUGCUCAGCUGCUUGCGCUGCAGCUCCCGAGCAGGGCUAACCUUUCUUGAACUCUAUUGAAGUGUGUCAGUUUUGUAUAUUAUUUUGUCGGCGUGUUUAGUUGCACUGGUGGCGAUCUUUGAUGCCAAGUGUAUGUAAUCUGCUGUCUGCUUGUGCUUUCUUAUCAUAGUGGCGAACUUUGAUGCCCAGUGGAUGUAAUAUGUCGUAAUUUCUUUAUUGUAUAGUCUAGGUUUUUUUUUCUUAUUCACGAUGCUGCAGUUAUUUUACUGUAUAUAUAUCCUGUCUUCGCAGUAAACCGGCCAAACCGUAAAAUUACGGUACAUAAUCGGGCCGUCAUGCAAAUCACCAUGUAUGAUCCGCAUCAUGGGCCCCGUCAUCUUGGUCCGUUAACAGGCCUAAAUGUAAACUGGCCCACUAGUAGAUUCGGGCCUUUAAUAGGCCGAGUAAACCGCCGGCCCUAUUUUCCCAAGAAAACUCAAUGGGCCUUUAGGAGGCUGAAAAGUAGGUUGGGCCUGAAACGUGUCGAACAGCUCAUGGGCCGGCAGCAGGCCGAAAUAGACCCCGGCCCAUGAAUGUACAAUCAAAUCAUGGGCUUAUAACAGGCCAAAAUUGUCUCGGUCCUUGUUUGGCCCAAUCAGAUUAUCGGCUGCGAGCAGGCCGAAUGCAAACCGGGCCGUAGUUAGGCCCAACUAUAUGACGGGCUUUUAACAGGCCAAAAUUAAUAUAGGGACGAAAUGUUAAACGGGCCCUUAACAGGCCGAAACUAAUAUCAGGCCGAAUUACUAAAUGGGCCUUUAUCAAGUGGGCCCAAAAGCAUAGCGUCUAGUUGACGGGCCGAAUCUGAUAUGGGCCAUAAUUUAGCCCAAAGCCUCUUAAAGGGUCGAACCUGAUCUGGGCCGUAAUUUGGCCCAGAACGUGGUAGGCUUUUAACGGGCCGGAUCUCAUAUGGGCCAUUAUUAUGCCCGGAACGUGGUAGGCCAUUAAUGGACCGGAUCAAAUAUGGGCCGGCAUUUGGCACAAAACAUGGCAGCCAGUUAAUGGGCCGGCCUACUAGGAUCCUCAAAAUCUUGUGGGCCUACAGCCGGGCCGGCCCAUUAAUGUCGGCGAAAUCUCGUGGGCCUUUAGCUGGGCCGGCCCAUUAUGGUCCACAAAAAUCUUGUGGGCCUUCACCAGGGCCGGCCCAUUAUGGCCCGCAAGAAUCUUGUGGGCCUUUACCUGGGCCGGCCCAUUAUAGCCCGCAAAAUCUUGUAGGCCUUUAGCUGGGUUGGCCCAUUAUGGUCCGCAAAAUCUUGUGGGCCCUUAGUUGGGCUGGCCCAUUUAAACUUUAUGGGCCACUUUUGGGCCGGUCCACGUGUUAACAUAUCAUAGGCGCAUCUCGCCCAUUGGAUGAGUGACACCUGUGCCAACACGGAGCUGACACGUGUUUCCUACAGCCAAUGAUGAUUUUACACGUGGAAAAUCCCCAUUGGUCCGGGUAGUUAAUGGGUUAUCGGAUCCAAAACCGGACCCGAUAGCUUAACGGCGUUCCGUUACGGUGGAUGCCACGUGUCGGUCACCCUUGACGAAAGCACUUCUGUGACGCGCGAUUUAUUGUCAUGGAAGUGGACACUUCCGUGAUGAUAAUUUUGGUAAUGUCAUGGAACACUUCUAUGACAGCACAGGUAUGACUAUCUUGAUUCUAUCAUAAAUUUUUCAUGGAUGUACAUGCAUGACAGAAAACGUGACUUACUGUGACAAACACGUAUCAUCAUGGAAGUGCAUUUUUUGUAGUGCUAUCAGCAUACAACUAACCCUAUGGUGUGAUCCACGCACGCGCUCAUAUGAUGGGCACCAAAGGACAGCAACAUAACCACAAGAAAAUUAAACCAAUCAUAGCAAUUCACCAGUCACCGAAAGGACAACGAAAAUCUACUCAGACAUCAUAGGAUGGCAACACAUCAUUGGAUAAUAAUAUGAAGCAUAAAGCACCAUGUUCAAGUAGAGGGUACAGCGGGUCGCGGGAGAGUGGACCGCUAUAGAUAGAUGGGGGAAGGUCAUGAAGAUGUUGGUGAAGAUGACGGAGGUGUUGGUGUAGAUCGCCGUGAUGAUGAUGGCCCCGGCGACGUUCCGGCGCCACCGGAAGCGAGGGGGAGAGAGACCCCCUCCUUCUUCUUCUUCCUUGACCUUCUCCCUAGAUGGGAGAAGGGUUUACCCUCUGGUACAUGGUCUCCAUGGCAUGGGAGGGGCAAGAGCCCCUCCGAGAUUGGAUCUGUCUCUCUGUCUCUCUCUGUUUCUGUGCUCUUGAUUCUUCCCUUUCACCGUUUCUUUUAUAACCGGAGAUCCGUAACUCCGAUUGGGCUGAAUUUUGGACACGAUCUCUAUCCGGAAAUUAGCUUUCCUGCGGCGAAAGAAGGGCUCCAACCGCCUUACGAGGUGGCCACGAGGGUCCAGAGCGCGCCUGACCCCCCUGGGGCGCGCCCCCUGCCUCGUGGCCCCCUCGCGCAUUGUAUCACGUUGAUUCUUCUUCCCAAAAAUCGCAAAUAUUCCAAAAAAAAUCUCCGUCAGUUUUUAUCCCGUUUAGACUCCGAUUGAUAUGGGUUUUCUGCAAAACAAAAAUAUGCAACAAACAGGAACUGGCACUGGGAACUGGAUCAAUAUGUUAGUCCCAAAAAUAGUAUAAAAAUUUGCCAAAAGUAUAUGAAAGUUGUAUAAUAUUGGCAUGGAACAAUCAAAAAUUAUAGAUACGACGGAGACGUAUUAGCAUCCCCAAGCUUAAUUCCUGCUCGUCCUUGAGUAGGUAAAUGAUAAAAAAGAUAAUUUUUGAUGUGGAAUGCUACCUAGCACAAUCUUGAUCAUGUAAUCUAAUCAUGGCAUCAAUAUUAAGACACGAGUGAUUCAAAGCAAUAGUCUAUCAUUUGACAUUAAGACAAUAAUACUUCAAGCUUACUAACCAAGCAAUUAUGUCCUCCCAAAAUAACAUAGCCAAAUAAAGCUCAUCCCUACAAAAUCAUAUAGUUUGGCCAUGCUUCAUUUCUGUCACACAAAAUGCUCCCAUCAUGCACAACCCCUCUGACAAGCCGAGCAAUUGCUUCAUACUUUUUUAACGCGCUUCAACCUUGUCAACCCUCACGCAAUACAUGAGCGCAAGCCAUGGAUAUAGCACUAUGGGUGGAAUAGAAUAUGAUAAUGGGGGUUGUGUGUAGAAGACAAAAAGGAGAAAGUCUCACAUUGACGCGGCUAAUCAACGGGCUAUGGAGAUGCCCAUCAAUUGAUGUCAAUGCGAGGAGUAGGGAUUGCGAUGCAACGGAUGCACUAGAGCUAUAAGUGUAUGAAAGCUCAAACUGAAACUAAGUGGGUGUGCAUCCAACUUGCUUGCUCAUGAAGACCUCGGGCAUUUGAGGAAGCCCAUCAUCGGAAUAUACAAGCCAAGUUAUAUAAUGAAAAUUCCCACUAGUAUAUGAAAGUGAUAACUCAAGAGACUCUCUAUAUGAAGAACAUGGUGCUACUCUGAAGCACAAGUGUGGUAAAAGGAUAGUAACAUUGUCCCUUCUCUCUUUGCUCUCAUUUUUUUGGUUUUUUUCCUUUUUUUGGGCCUUCUCCUUUUUUUGGCCUUUCUCUUUUUUUGUCUCAUCCCGGCUUGUGGGGGAAUCAUAGUCUCCAUCAUCCUUUCCUCACUGGGACAAUGCUCUAAUAAUGAUGGUCAUCACACUUUUAUUUACUUACAACUCAAUAUUACAACUCGAUACUAGAACAAAGAUAUGACUCUGUAUGAAUGCCUCCGGCGGUGUACAGGGAUGUGCAAUGAUCUAGCGUAGCAAUGACAUCAAAACGGAUAAGCCAUGAAAACAUCAUGCUAGCUAUCUUACGAUCAUGCAAAGCAAUAUGACAAUAAAUGCUCAAGUCAUGUAUAUGAUGAUGAUGGAAGUUGCAUGGCAAUAUAUCUCGGAAUGGCUAUGGAAAUGCCAUGAUAGGUAGGUAUGGUGGCUGUUUUGAGGAAGAUAUAAUGAGGCUUAUGUGUGAUAGAGCGUAUCGUAUCACGGGGUUUGGAUGCACCGGCGAAGUUUGCACCAACUCUCGAGGUGAGAAAGGGCAAUGCACGGUACCGAAGAGGCUAGCAAUGAUGGAAGGGUGAGAGUGCGUAUAUCCAUGGACUCACAUUAGUCAUAAAGAACUCAUAUACUUAUUGCAAAAGUUUAUUAGCCCUCGAAGCAAAGUACUACUACGCAUGCCCCUAGGGGGAUAGAUUGGUAGGAAAAGACCAUCGCUCAUCCCCGACCGCUACUCAUAAGGAAAGCAAUCAAAGAACACCCCAUGCUUCAAAUGUGUCACACAACGUUUACCAUACGUGCAUGCUACGGGACUUGCAAACCUCAACACAAGUAUUUCUCAAUUUCACAAUUACUCAACUAGCACGACUCUAAUAUCACCACCUUUAUAUCGCAAAACUAUUGCAAGGAAUCAAACAUAUCAUAUUCAGUGGUCUACAAGUUUUAUGUAGGAUUUUAUGACUAACCAUGUGAAUGACCAGUUCCCGUCAUCUCUCUAAAUAGAUAUAAGUGAAGCAAGAGAGUUUAAUUCUUUCUACAACAGAUAUGCCCACGCUCUAACAAAUAUAAGUGAAGCAAAAGAGCAUUCUACAAAUGGCGGUUUUCUAUAUGAAGAGAAACAGGCAAUCCAAACUUCAAAAGAUAUAAGUGAAGCACAUGAAGCAUUCUAUAAAGCCAUACUCAAAAGAUAUAAGUGAAGUUCAAAGAGCAUUUUAUAAAUCAACCAUGGACUAUAUCAUACCAGCAUGGUGCAUAAAAGAAAAGUGAAAACUAAAUGCAAAAGACGCUCCAAGAUUUGCACAUAUCGCAUGAACGAAACGAAUCUGAAAACAUACGGAUACUUGUUGAAGAAAGAUGGGAUGCCUUCCGGGGCAUCCCCAAGCUUAGGCGCUUGAGUCUCCUUGAAUAUUUACUUGGGGUGCCUUGGGCAUCCCCAAGCUUGAGCUCUUGCCUCUCAUUCUUCUCCUCACAUCGAGGCAUCCUCGAUCUUCGAACACUUCAUCCGCACAAAACUCAACAGAAAGCUCGGUAAGAUCCGUUAGUAUAAUAAAGCAAAUCACUACUCUAAGUACUGUUGCAAACCAAUUGAUAUUUUUUUUGCAUUGUAGCUACUGUAAUAUAACUUUUCCAUGGCUUAAUCCACUGAUAGGAAUCGAUAGUUUCAUCAAAACAAGCAAACUAUGCAUCAAAAACAGAAUCUGUCUAAAACAGAACAGUCUGUAAUAAUCUGAACAUUCACCAUACCUCUGGUACUCCAAAACUUCUACCAAAAUUAGGAAAAAUAAAAAAUUUGUAUAGAAAGACAGUGCAAAAAGUUUCAGAACCGUUUGACGUUCCAGUAAAAAAAUUAAAAUCGCGCACUACAGCCAAAUUUCUGUCCUGCACCGCACAAACCAACAAGCAUUGUAAACAUCCUAAAGGCAAACCUUGGCGCAUUAUUUUUAUAAUACAAUGGAAUUUUACAAGGGAAUAAAUAUUUUUGUUGAAAAGUUUCUGUAAUCAAGAUUCACAAAGUUUCCGUGAGCAUGAACAAAGUUCAAGGAGCUCCCCCACUUCAACAAUGCUUGUCUUUCUCACUUUCACUUUCCUUUUUGAAAAGUUUUGGGUUCCCCUCUUUAUUUUUUGUUUUUAAACUUUAUAAAAGCACUCAACAGAAAUAAAUGACUCUCUAAAACUUCCGAGUAGUCUCCCUGGCAGCGCUUUCUUUAAAGCCAUUAAGCUAGGCAUAUAGUGCUUAAGUAAUGAAUCCACCCAGAUCCCAAGGUAUAUCAAAGCCAAUUUUAAUUAACAAUGAUUUGUGAUUUAGUAGUGAGCACAAAGUAACAUAUAUCAUGUAAUAACGAAGUCUAACUCUCUUCCUAUGCAUCGGCAUGUCAUAAAAGAACAAUUCAUGCACACAAAGUAAAGGCCAAUGCAUAGUAUAAACAGUUUCUUGCAAUUUUAUCGUGUGGGAAACAUAGAGAGGUGGAGAUAUAGUUCCUCUCUCAUAAUAAUUGCAAGUAGGAGCAUCAAGCACAUGCAUAUUAUAUUCACCAAAAUCAUCAUGUGCAACGGUAAAAGGCAACCCAUCAAUAUAAUCCUUAAUAAAGGCAAACUUCUCCGAUAUAGUGUAGUCGGGAGAAUUCAAACAGAUAAUAGGACUAUCAUGCGUGGGUGCAAUAGCAGCAAUUUCAUGUUUAACAUAAAUAACUAUAGCAAGUUCAUCUCCAUAAGCAUAAUUCAUAUUGGCAUCUUGGCAACAAGCAUAGCAAGCAUCAUCAAAAAGGGAUAUUUCAAGAGAAUCAACGGGAUCAUAACAAUCAUCAUAGCAAUCAUCCUUCGGUAAGCACGAAGGGAAAUUAAGCAAUGUAUGAGUUUAAGAGUUACUCUCAUUAGAAGGUGGGCACGGGUAGCUAACCCGCUCUUCCUCCUUUUGUUCUCCGCUCUCCUCAUCAUCUUUUUCAUCCAAUGAGCUCACAGUUUCAUCAAUUCCUUCUUCCAUAGACUCCUGCAAAAUAUUAUUCUCUUCUUGGACAGCGGAGGAGUCCUCAAUAUAUGGUUUAAUAUAAGGAUUAGAAGCAUAAUUAUCAUAGAAAUAUUUAAGUAUGGCAAAAAUUUCAAAUUUGUAAAGAGUAGCAUCAUACUUUUCAAUCAAACAAGCAAUUUCAUAAGCACCCUUAAAAGCAACAAAUUCUUCAAUUUGUUGAACAUCAUAGUAAUUAUAAACACCUUUAGCAUACGAAGAUACGAUUCCAUUAUCACUAAACUCACAUUGGUAGGGAAGGUGUUUCUUAGGGUCUUCAGAACAACAAGUAAAAUCAUAUAUUUCACAUAAAUUCCAAGCAUAGCAUUGCAAACGAUGAACUUGAUCCAGCAAAAGUUUCCCCUUUUCAGUUAUGCGGUGUCGGACAUAACAAGCAUGCUCAUCUAAAGAUUUGCCCUCAACUAAGCUAGUUGGGGUUUCAGCUCGAGCACAUAGGGAUCGAAGAUGAUCCAAGUAAAAAGCUUCAGUAGUGUGAUAGAUUUUUUAGUGGUUCUUCAACCAUUGGUGUAGUAGGUACAACUAAUUUUUUUGGUAUUUUGCGUUUCCUACCCAUAACUAAAGAUAGAAAACAAGAGCACAAAAUAAAAACUACUUAGUGAUAAAGCAAACAAGCACACACGAGAAUAUUCACCCCACGCUAUUGCUCCCCGGCAAUGGCGCCAGAAAAAGGUCUUGAUAACCCACAAGUAUAGGGGAUCAAUUGUAGCCUCUUUCGAUAAGUAAGAGUGUCGAACCCAACGAGGAGCUAAAGGUAGAACAAAUAUUCCCUCAAGUUCUUUCGACCACUGAUACAACUCUACGCACGCUUAACAUUCGCUUUACCUAGAACAAGUAUGAAACUAGAAGUACUUUGUAGGUGUUUUUGGAUAGGUUUGCAAGAUAAUAAAGAGCACGUAAAUAAAAACUAGGGGCUGUUUAGGUAAAGAAGCAAUAAAAUUAGUAUAGAGAGUGUGGAAAAGUGGUGGUAGGAGUUGCGAAAUUGUCCCUAAGCAAUUGACUACUUUACUAGACCGAUAGCAAGUUUUAUGUAGGAGAGGCCACUACUAGCAUGUCAUCCCUGACUUGGAAUUUUAUGCACUUAUGAUUGGAACUAUUAGCAAGCGUCCGCAACUACUAACGUUCAUUAAGGUAAAACCCAACCAUAGCAUUAAGAUAUAUUGGUCCACCUUCAAUCCCGUACGCAUCAAUUUUGUGACGCCCCCGAUUCAAUCGUACACUAAUCAUACACGCAAACGUGUACGAUCAAGAUCAGGGACUCGCGGGAAGAUAUCACAACACAACUCUAAAAAUAAAAUAAGUCAUACAAGCAUCAUAAUACAAGCCAGGGGCCUCGAGGGCUCGAAUACAAGUGCUCGAUCAUAGACAAGUCAGUGGAAGCAACAAAAUCUGAGUACAGACAUAAGUUAAGCAAGUUUGCCUUAAGAAGGCUAGCACAAACUAGGAUACAGAUCGAAAGAGGCGCAGGCCUCCUGCCUGGGAUCCUCCUAAACUACUCCUGGCCGUCGUCAACGGCUUGCACGUAGUAGUAGGCACCUCCGGUAUAGUAGGAGUCGUCGUCGAUGGUGGCGUCUGGCUCCUGGGCUCCAGCAUCUGGUUGCGACAACCAGGUAGAAAGGAAAGGGGGAAAAGAGGGAGAAAAGCAACCGUGAGUACUCAUCCAAAGUACUCGCAAGCAAGGAGCUACACUACAUAUGCAUGGGUAUAUGUGUAAAGGGCCAUAUCGGUGGACUGAACUGCAGAAUGCCAAAAUAAGUGGGGGAUAGCUAAUCCUGUCGAAGACUACGCUUCUGGCCACCUCCAUCUUGCAGCAUGUAGGAGAGAGUAGAUGGUAAGUUCACCAAGUAGCAUCGCAUAGCAUAAUCCUACCCGGCGAUCCCCUCCUCGUCGCCCUGUUAGAGAGCGAUCACCGGGUUAUAUCUGGCACUUGGAAGGGUGUGUUUUAUUAAGUAUCCGGUUCUAGUUGUCAUAAGGUCAAGGUACAACUCCGGGUCGUCCUUUUACCGAGGGACACGGCUAUUCGAAUAGAUAAACUUCCCUGCAGGGAUGCACCACAUAACCCAACACGCUCGAUCCCAUUUGGCCGGACACACUUUCCUGGGUCAUGCCUGGCCUAGUAAGAUCAACACGUCGCAGCCCCACCUAGGCUCAACAGAGAGGUCAGCACGCCGGUCUAAAUCCUAUGGCACAGGGGUCUGGGCCCAUCGCCCAUUGCAAACCUGCACGUUGCGAACGCGGCCGAAAGCAGACCUAGCCUAGUAGGCGUUCCAGUCCAAUCCGGCGCGCGCCACUCAGUCGCUGACGUCACGAAGGCUUCGGCUGAUACCACGACAUCGAGUGCCCAUAAUUGUUCCCGCGUAGUUGGUUAGUGCAUAGAGACCAAAUAGCCAGACUCAGAUCAAAUACCAAGAUCUCGUUAAGCGUGUUAAGUAUCCGCGAACGCCGACCAAGGCCAGGCCCACCUCUCUCGUAGGUGGUCUCAACCUGCCCUGUCGCUCCGCCAUAAAGUAACAGUCGGGGGCCGUCAGGAACCCAGGCCCACCUCUACCGGGAUGGAGCCACCUGUCCUUUCAGCCCCCUCAUCAGAAUCACUUGCGGGUACUCAACGAGCCGACCCGACUUUAGUCACCACAUGUGUCAUGUAUAUAAAGUAUAUAGUAUAUACCCGUGAUCACCUCCCGAAGUGAUCACGGCCCAGUAGUAUAGCAUGGCAGACGGACAAGAGUGUAGGGCCACUGAUGGAACACUAGCAUCCUAUACUAAGCAGUAGGAUAGCAGGUAAGGGUAACAACUGUAGCAACAAUGACAGGCUAUGCAACAGAAUAGGAUUAACCGAAAUCAGUAACAUGCUACACUACUCUAAUGCAAGCAGUAUAGAGAAGAAUAGGCGAUAUCUGGUGAUCAAGGGGGGGGGCUUGCCUCGUUGCUUUGGCAAGAAGGAGGGGUCGUCAACACCGUAGUCGUACUAGGUAGCAGCGGCGUCGGUCUCGGUGUCUAACGAGAGAAGAGGGGGAAGAAACAAUAAAUAUAAUGCAAACAUAAGCAUGACAAUGGAAGACAUGUCAAUGCGCGGGGCUAGGUGUGCCCUAACGCGGUAGGAGGUGGUACUGGCGAAGGGGGGAAACAUCCGGGAAAGUAUUCCCGGUGUUUCGCAUUUUUGGUCAGAUGAACCGGAGGUGAAAUGUUGCAGGUUCGCUAUGCUAGGGAUGUGUGGCGGUCAAACGGGCUGCAUAUUCGGAUUCGGCUCGUCGUUCUGAGCAACUUUCAUGUACAAAACAUUUUCAUCCGAGUUACGGUUUAUUUUAUAUUUAUUAUUAAAGUUUUAAAUCAUUUUCUAAAUUAUUAUUAUUAAAUUAAUUUGAAAUUAGUAUUAUUGCAUCAGCAUGACGUCAGCAGUCAACAGAGGGGUUGACUGGUCAAUCUGACACGUGGGUCCCACUGGUCAUAGACUCAGGUUUAACUAAACCGGGUUAAUUAGACUAACUAAGUGAUUAGGCUAAUUUAUUUUAAUUAGAUUAGUUAAACAGCAUUAAUUAACUUAAUUAACUCAUUAAUUAAUUAAUUAAUAAUUUAUUUAUUGUAACACAUUUUUUAUUCUCUUUUUUUUUAACAAAAUCGUUCUGGGGGCGGGGCCCCCCGUCAUUGGCCUAGGGGCCUUAACAGGUCGGGCGAAACGGGCGCGAGCGCCAGGUCGCGACGGGGGCACGGGCGCCAGAGCGCGCCGGCGGCCAGGGCGGGGCUCACCGGCCGGCCGUUUCCGGCGAAGGANNNNNNNNNNNNNNNNNNNNNNNNNNNNNNNNNNNNNNNNNNNNNNNNNNNNNNNNNNNNNNNNNNNNNNNNNNNNNNNNNNNNNNNNNNNNNNNNNNNNNNNNNNNNNNNNNNNNNNNNNNNNNNNNNNNNNNNNNNNNNNNNNNNNNNNNNNNNNNNNNNNNNNNNNNNNNNNNNNNNNNNNNNNNNNNNNNNNNNNNNNNNNNNNNNNNNNNNNNNNNNNNNNNNNNNNNNNNNNNNNNNNNNNNNNNNNNNNNNNNNNNNNNNNNNNNNNNNNNNNNNNNNNNNNNNNNNNNNNNNNNNNNNNNNNNNNNNNNNNNNNNNNNNNNNNNNNNNNNNNNNNNNNNNNNNNNNNNNNNNNNNNNNNNNNNNNNNNNNNNNNNNNNNNNNNNNNNNNNNNNNNNNNNNNNNNNNNNNNNNNNNNNNNNNNNNNNNNNNNNNNNNNNNNNNNNNNNNNNNNNNNNNNNNNNNNNNNNNNNNNNNNNNNNNNNNNNNNNNNNNNNNNNNNNNNNNNNNNNNNNNNNNNNNNNNNNNNNNNNNNNNNNNNNNNNNNNNNNNNNNNNNNNNNNNNNNNNNNNNNNNNNNNNNNNNNNNNNNNNNNNNNNNNNNNNNNNNNNNNNNNNGACUGGGGGCGAGGGGAGUGGGGAGUGGGGCGACUGGGGAGGGACUGCUAGGGUUUGGUGUGGAUCGGGGGGGUUAAGGGGAGGCGGCUGGGCCGGCCUGGCUGGUUGCGGCCAGCUGGGUCGAGGCCAAGUGGUGGGCGGGGGGGCUUUUGGUUUUAUUUGUCUUUUCUCCUUUUCUUGUUUUCUUUUCUAUUUUAUUUCUGGUUUCUUUUACUUUUAGCUUUAUGAAAUUUAAAAGCGACAACUAAUUUGGUGUUAUUAAAUAGGUCACAGCCCCAACUAUUUUGGCACUUUAAAUAAAGUAUUUUGCAUCUGCUUAUUAUUUUAAAAGCAUUUUAGAUAAUUGUUUUACCGUUGUUUUAGUUUAUUUAGUGCAUUUAAGUAUUUUAUUAAAAGAUGAUUUCUUCACCAACAUUUAUUAUGGAUUAUUUGACACAUUAGGAACAAUUUAGUUUUGACUUUUGAAAACUUUAUUUGUUUUGACUUUAAUUCAAAUUCGAAUUUGGAUCGGUUCUGAACUAACGCGAGAUUAGCGACAGUAAUCGUGGUGACGUGGCACCAUUAGCAGAGUUUCACUAUAGCUUAACUAUCCGGGCAUCACAAUUCUCCUCCACUACAAGAAAUCUCGUCCCGAGAUUUAAGAGGGGUGUAAGGGGGAAAGUCCUGGUUACGAAAUUCUAACGAUUCUUCUCGGUCUUGGUUGCUCUUCUCGAAGAGGUCGAUACAUUACGUUGAUGUCUUCAUUCCUCUGCUUCAGGUCAUCAUGGUGAAGUCGGCGUCCUUUCUUCGGGAACUCUAUCGUGCAUACGAAAGAAUAAAGGGGUAUUCCGGGAGAACGGACCUCUGCAAGGUCGACUAUCUGGUCGAUAACAUCGGGGAAGGUGCCGAAAGUAUCUCUUGAAUUGAAAUUUAAGAAAAUAUCGAGAGCAAAGUAAGGAGGUAACAUGGGAAGUUUCACGCGGACAGACAAUCGUUCGUUGCCUGAAACAGGGCGUGAAAGGGGUUCAAAGCAACGGGAAUAAGUACUGUGUCUGAUACUAGAAUUGAUGAUCUCUCGGAAAGUGGCUCGUGAAUUUCAUACGAGGCCACGUGCGAGGAACAACCUUGAGAACAAGGGGUGUACAGGAGAGUCAGGUUUCGAUCCAGUGGACCUGUGGGUUAUGGGCCCAUCAUGUGGGUUAAAAGUAGAGGGAGCGGUGACAUCUUGCAUGGUCAUGAUAGCAAGGCGGGUCAGAGGGUAGCCUGUCGAUUAUGUCGGCAACCACGUCGGUACCAAGGGCGAGGGACGAAGAGAACCAUUUUCCUGCUCGUUGAACGAGCCGGACCAAUAGGCAAAGUUCUCAUCCAUCGGUGGCUACCAGAAUGUCAUCAACAAUGGUAACAGGGUCUUGCUGACAGAAUUGUACACCGAGGUGUUUACAUAAGCAGGAGAACAUCACUGCUUAGAUCAUAUAGAUCACAAGAAACGUUAAACCAACCAAUGGAAAGGCAAAUAUGAUUAUCAGAUUAAACAGAACAAUGGAAAGGAAAAUGUGUUUAAACACAUAUUUCAAGGGUAUAUCCUUCCCAAGGACAAGCAGAGCAUGAUAUCCAUGACAGGAUAGAAAGUAGAAAACCAUUUAGGUAAUGGGAGAGGAAUUUCAUGACAUGACCCAUACAACGGUGUUUGGAUAAUUGAUAAAGAAAAUUUUGCAUUGUGCUUCAAAUGUUCUUAUUGAAAAUCGGAGUACCAGUGACAUGCUUUGAGAUAGCAUUGACAAUGUAUUCAAGCAAAGGUCAGACUUUGGAUACAGGAUGGAUCCAUCAGGAUCAACUUGUAGAAUAAGUCUUACAAUUUCCUCAUGGAAGAAUGGAUAACCUUGCUAAAAAGGAAACUAUAACAUCAGGUCCCCCGGCCAGGUGUGUUAGGCAUGACAUCAUCUUACCGGGUCAUAUAAAGACCAAUGAUAUGACUCUUGGAAAAUGUCCCAACCAUCAUAUCCGACUGAGAUUCAGGUCUGAUUGGUGUCGGGAUACCUCAGACUUAGGAUACCUGAGAAGAAAAGGUGCAACACAAAUUGACGAGAUGAUAAUGUAAGAUUCUCGGGAAAUGAACUAUGGAAGCGAGUUCCGAUACAAGAGUUCAUUAGUAAACCAUGUAGAGGAUGAGGAGGUGGCUGAUGGACUCAGCAGCAAUUCAUUGAGGUUUCCAAAAGCUGGAUUUCCACAAUUAAGUGAACGAGGUGGUAGCAUCGGACAGGCCUAAGUAUAUAAUGAGGUAUGUUCGAUGAGAACCUCCACAAUUAAAUAUUGAACGAAAAUGCACCUGGUAAUAUGGACCAAGUAGGACGAUCAAAGUUAGAAUGGUGAUUCGAUAACGAAACUAUCAACCAUUCACUUUGAAACAAUAGGGUUGCUAGAGGUAUUAAAUUCUCACAACAGAGUUCACUCAACACGGGGGGCAAGAAAAGAAUGGUGAUGGCGAGAAGCAUCGCUGCAACAAGAAUUUCUUAAGAGGUGGUGAAAUUCUCACGACAUUCCUGACAUAAAAGAUGGUAAUACUUCAAGGUAGAACAUAAUACGAGCUGGAUUGCAAGUUGCAUUCAUAGCAUGUAUAAGUUUGUGUUGGGGGAAGGCAAGAAUGUUGUCGAUGAUAACACAAUCAUCGAGGGGCAAGGAUGGUAUUUCCCAUCGUGUAUUUGAUUGAUAUCCUGGAAGAGCUCAAAAUGUCGAUGAUGAUCACGACAAUUUUGUCGAGAAGCUCCACAAAGAAGCAAUCGAACAACGACUGCUCAAGCAGAAGGACUGAUGCAGCAAAAGAUUAAUGGAACUACGGAUACAGCACCAACUAGGAAUCAAGCUUGCCGUUCGAGGUGAAACGAUAAGACAAGGAAGAUCGACAUAAGCUUAGCUCAUCGUUGAAAGUUGUGCUCUGGGAAGAAGGACCAGGUAGCACAGUUAAAAUUUAGCACAAGAUGAUAGCCAUCAGGCUAGGAUUGACAUGCUCGAGUAAAAACUUGUGAGUAAAGGAGAUUACUAAGAUUUGUUUAAUCGUGGUGCGGACCCGAUUUAGUUAUCGGUGUCCUCGAGUGACUAACAACUCGGAACCAGGAAACAUUGGAAUCGGUGAGGAAUAAUACUUGAUGAAGGCUCAUAAUAAGCAACAUGGUUCGGUGAUAUUAUCGAGAUUCCAGAGGGUAAUACUCGGAGGUAGAGCAAAAUGGAGGGUUGGCAAGUGUAUUGAUCUGCAAAAGACAAGUACUUUAACUUGUCCGAGAGAAGGAAUCAUUGAUUAUCAAUAUGGCCGAAACCAUAGUUGCAAGGGAUCCAAUUCAAAGACACCGGAAGAAUUAUCCAACUAAUUAAAAGUUUUGCAAGAAGCUUCCAUGAUAAGUUCCACAUCGGGUCCAUGGGCAUGAACACUAAGUUCAAGGUCGACUCCCACUUCUUCAAUGCAUGACCUUCCAUGCACUUCUCGUGUUUCAAAAAUGACAUUAGUUGUUGAAAGUUUUAAUUGAUGCAAUACCAGAUAAGUAUGACCUGUGAAAUCUUAUGGGUUCAAAUAGAUUAGGGAAGUCGUUGGUUCAACCCAUCGGGGCAUCUUAGGAACCUAUACCACAAACUUAAAGAGUAAAUAACACAAGCUCGAAGGUAGAGCAUGGUUGGCAAAAGGAGAGGAUGCAAUUUACCAAAGGCAUUAUGUAUCAGGGAAGAACUCACGAGGUGGUUAAAUAUGAGGGCAUUGUCGGAUAAUAAUCCAACCAAGGAUCUGGUGGUCCACAAGGGAUCUGACGUGAGUAUCAAUAUUCAACCAAAAGAAGUAAUGCAAGGGCAUCAGAUUGUAGAAAUAUAUGGAUAACUUCAAUGCUUAGACACAAGGGAAAUAUUAUUUCCAAAUCGGGGAAUCAGAAGCAGAGGCUCUCAUCAAAAGAUAAAUAAGUUGAAUAGUCAUAGAUCGACAAUCAAUCAAGGUUUGAUUUGCCGAGAGCCAACUCAUAUCCGGAGUGACGUCUGAGGCCAGAAGAACAAAUUCUAGGGUCUGAUUGAGGAUUGCGAGCAUUCGCAACAUAUUGAAUCAACGGGCUCAAAUGAUAAUGACAAAGGAUGCCAAUAAGAUUACCAGACUUAUGGGAUUAAUCAUAAUGAAAGCAAGCAAGAAAUUCCAGAGCAAUAGGUUGCUGAGGAUUUCUGGAAGAUCGAAUGGUAUUUCAAAGACUUCAUGAAACAUACGGUCAACUGGGGAUGAGCGGAUACUCGGUAAGUGCGACGAAUUAUCCGUAGGGGUAUUCAGGUGCCAAAAAAACUGCAAGGCAGUGGCACAAGAUAUUGUCGGAUCAAUAGAGAGAAUUCCGAGCUAUCUUGUAAUAACAAGAUCAACUGGGAAUAAAAGUAGGAACGACAAGUGCAUGUAUUUAUCCAUAGGGAUAUUUCGAUGGUAGGGAAUUGAAAAAGCCACGGGCACAAAGUCUCGAGAGAACAUCGGAGAGUAUCUUCAAAAUCCUUCGAUGCACCAAGUAAUCAUCUGGAGUAAGGGCUCUCCGGGUGGAAGUAGUUACGAGAACCUAUAGUCGGCGUUAGUAAAAUCAUUUAACCCGAAUAGAAGAGAGAUUAGAGUCCCAGAGUAUAGGUCGAGGAAUAAAAGAUCCUAAUACCACCCAUUGGCGACGUGGGCCCGUAAGGCGCACAACCAUGUUAGUAAAAGUUUUGUAAUGUCUAGACUCGACUUCGACCAAGGAGUUGGAAAGGGGGAUUCCUACAGGCAGUCGGCUCUGAUACCAACUUGUGACACCCCCGAUUCAAUCGUACACUAAUCAUACACGCAAACGUGUACGAUCAAGAUCAGGGACUCACGGGAAGAUAUCACAACACAACUCUAAAAAUAAAAUAAGUCAUACAAGCAUCAUAAUACAAGCCAGGGGCCUCGAGGGCUCGAAUACAAGUGCUCGAUCAUAGACGAGUCAGCGGAAGCAACAAAAUCUGAGUACAGACAUAAGUUAAGCAAGUUUGCCUUAAGAAGGCUAGCACAAACUGGGAUACAGAUCGAAAGAGGCGCAGGCCUCCUGCCUGGGAUCCUCCUAAACUACUCCUGGCCGUCGUCAGCGGCUUGCACGUAGUAGUAGGCACCUCCGGUGUAGUAGGAGUCAUCGUCGACGGUGGCGUCUGGCUCCUGGGCUCCAGCAUCUGGUUGCGACAACCAGGUAGAAAGGAAAGGGGGAAAAGAGGGAGAAAAGCAACCGUGAGUACUCAUCCAAAGUACUCGCAAGCAAGGAGCUACACUACAUAUGCAUGGGCAUAUGUGUAAAGGGCCAUAUCGGUGGACUGAACUGCAGAAUGCCAGAAUAAGUGGGGGAUAGCUAAUCCUGUCGAAGACUACGCUUCUGGCCACCUCCAUCUUGCAGCAUGUAGGAGAGAGUAGAUGGUAAGUUCACCAAGUAGCAUCGCAUAGCAUAAUCCUACCCGGCGAUCCCCUCCUCGUCGCCCUGUUAGAGAGCGAUCACCGGGUUAUAUCUGGCACUUGGAAGGGUGUGUUUUAUUAAGUAUCCGGUUCUAGUUGUCAUAAGGUCAAGGUACAACUCCGGGUCAUCCUUUUACCGAGGGACACGGCUAUUCGAAUAGAUAAACUUCCCUGCAGGGGUGCACCACAUAACCCAACACGCUCGAUCCCAUUUGGCCGGACACACUUUCCUGGGUCAUGCCCGGCCUCGUAAGAUCAACAAGUCGCAGCCCCACCUAGGCACAACAGAGAGGUCAGCACGCCGGUCUAAAUCCUAUGGCGCAGGAGUCUGGGCCCAUCGCCCAUUGCACACCUGCACAUUGCGAACGCGGCCGAAAGCAGACCUAGCCUAGUAGGCGUUCCAGUCCAAUCCGGCGCGCGCCACUCAGUCGCUGACGUCACGAAGGCUUCGGCUGAUACCACGACGUCGAGUGCCCAUAACUGUUCCCGCGUAGUUGGUUAGUGCGUAUAGACCAAAUGGCCAGACUCAUAUCAAAUACCAAGAUCUCGUUAAGCGUGUUAAGUAUCCGCGAAUGCCGACCAGGGCCAGGCCCACCUCUCUCCUAGGUGGUCUCAACCUGCCCUGUCGCUCCGCCAUAAAGUAACAGUUGGGGGCCGUUAGGAACCCAGGCCCACCUCUACCGGGAUGGAGCCACCUGUCCUUUCAGCCUUCUCGUCAGAAUCACUUGCGGGUACUCAACGAGCCGACCCGACUUUAGUCACCACAUGUGUCAUGUAUAUAAAGUAUAUAGUAUAUACCCGUGAUCACCUCCCGAAGUGAUCACGGCCCAGUAGUAUAGCAUGGCAGACGGACAAGAGUGUAGGGCCACUGAUGGAACACUAGCAUCCUAUACUAAGCAGUAGGAUAGCAGGUAGCAACAAUGACAGGCUAUGCAAAAGAAUAGGAUUAACCAAAAUCAGUAACAUGCUACACUACUCUAAUGCAAGUAGUAUAGAGAAGAAUAGGCGAUAUCUGGUGAUCAAUUGGGGGCUUGCCUCGUUGCUUUGGCAAGAAGGAGGGGUCGUCAACACCGUAGUCGUACUGGGUAGCAGCGGCGUCGGUCUCGGUGUCUAACGAGAGAAGAGGGGGAAGAAACAAUAAAUAUAAUGCAAACAUAAGCAUGACGAUGGAAGACAUGUCAAUGCGCGGGGCUAGGUGUGCCCUAACGCGGUAGGAGGUGGUACCGGCGAAGGGGGGAAACAUCCGGGAAAGUAUUCCCGGUGUUUCACGUUUUUGGACAGAUGAACCGGAGGUGAAAUGUUGCAGGUUCGCUAUGCUAGGGAUGUGUGGCGGUCAAAGAGGCUGCGUAUUCGGAUUCGGCUCGUCGUUCUGAGCAACUUCCAUGUACAAAACAUUUUCAUCCGAGUUACGGUUUAUUUUAUAUUAAUUAUUAAAGUUUAAAUCAUUUUCUAAAUUAUUAUUAUUAAAUUAAUUCGAAAUUAGUAUUAUUGCAUCAGCAUGACGUCAGCAGUCAACAGAGGGGUUGACUGGUCAAUCUGACACGUGGGUCCCAUUGGUCAUAGACUCAGGUUUAACUAAACCGGGUUAACUAGACUAGCUAAGUGAUUAGGCUAAUUUAUUUUAAUUAGAUUAGUUAAACAGGAUUAAUUAACUUAGUUAACUCAUUAAUUAAUUAAUAAUUUAUUUAUUCUAACACAUUUUUUAUUCUCUUUUUUUAAACAAAAUCGUUCUGGGGGCGGGGGCCCCCGUCAUUGGCCUAGGGGCCUUAACGGGUCGGGCGAAACGGGCGCGAGCGCCAGGUCGCGAUGGGGGCACGGGCGCCAGAGCGCGCCGGCGGCCAGGGCGGGGCUCACCAGUCGGCCGUUUCCGGCGAAGGAAGCCGGCGCAGGAGGGGUCGCUGAAGGCAGCACCAGGCGCGCUCAGGCCUCGCACGGGGCGGCAGAGGCGAGGUGGUCGCCGGAGUGUGGCUGGCCUUGGCCAAGGCGGCCAUGGAUAGGGACGAGGGGAGCCGGCGUUAGCCGCGGUGGCCGGUGGGCAAGGUCAGGGGUGGUUCGCGCGACGGCGAGCGAGGUGCGGGCGUAGACCGCGUGAGGGAGCAGCAGCAGGUCCACGGUGACGGUGGUCGCGGCCCGCGAUGUGCGCGAGCGGACGAUGGGGACAGAGGAGGGGAGGUAGCGGUGCUCACGGCGGGUUCGUAGGGUUCAGGGCAACGGGGGUCGAGGAGGACGUCGGGGACGACGGUGACGAAGAGGAGGCUGUCCGGCGAGGAAGCUCUGGGCGACGAGGUGGCCGCGACGGCGGUGCUGCUGCAGGCGCGGCGCUCAGGGCUGGCCAUGGCAAGCAGGAGGUGAGAUAGGCCAGAUCCUCAACGGGGCCUCGAGGAUGGCGAGGCGACGACACGAGGACGGCAGGAGGACCUGCGGGGCGUAGGCGGCGGUCCGGGGCGAUGGGGUCNNNNNNNNNNNNNNNNNNNNNNNNNNNNNNNNNNNNNNNNNNNNNNNNNNNNNNNNNNNNNNNNNNNNNNNNNNNNNNNNNNNNNNNNNNNNNNNNNNNNNNNNNNNNNNNNNNNNNNNNNNNNNNNNNNNNNNNNNNNNNNNNNNNNNNNNNNNNNNNNNNNNNNNNNNNNNNNNNNNNNNNNNNNNNNNNNNNNNNNNNNNNNNNNNNNNNNNNNNNNNNNNNNNNNNNNNNNNNNNNNNNNNNNNNNNNNNNNNNNNNNNNNNNNNNNNNNNNNNNNNNNNNNNNNNNNNNNNNNNNNNNNNNNNNNNNNNNNNNNNNNNNNNNNNNNNNNNNNNNNNNNNNNNNNNNNNNNNNNNNNNNNNNNNNNNNNNNNNNNNNNNNNNNNNNNNNNNNNNNNNNNNNNNGGGGGCUUUUGGUUUUAUUUGUCUUUUCUCCUUUUCUUGUUUUCUUUUCUAUUUUAUUUCUGGUUUCUUUUACUUUUAGCUUUAUAAAAUUUAAAAGCGACAACUAAUUUGGUGUUAUUAAAUAGGUCACAGCCCCAACUAUUUUGGCACUUUAAAUAAAGUAUUUUGCAUCUGCUUAUUAUUUUAAAAGCAUUUUAGAUAAUUGUUUUAUCGAUGUUUUAGUUUAUUUAGUGCAUUUAAGUAUUUUAUUAAAAGAUGAUUUCUUCACCAACAUUUAUUAUGGAUUAUUUGACACAUUAGGAACAAUUUAGUUUUGACUUUUGAAAACUUUAUUUGUUUUGACUUUAAUUCAAAUUUGAAUUUGGAUCGGUUCUGAACUAACGUGAGAUUAGCGACAGUAAUCGUGGUGACGUGGCACCAUUAGCAGAGUUUCACUAUAGCUUAACUAUCCGGGCGUCACAAAUUUCUAUGCUAGGUUGAAGCUUCUGUCACUCUUGCCAUCCAAUACAUAGUCCUAUCAGCAUACAACUAACCCUAUGGUGUGAUCCACGCACGCGCUCAUAUGAUGGGCACCAAAGGACAGCAACAUAACCACAAGCAAAUUAAACCAAUCAUAGCAAUUCACCAAUCACCGAAAGGACAACGAAAAUCUACUCAAACAUCAUAGGAUGGCAACACAUCAUUGGAUAAUAAUAUGAAGCAUAAAGCACCAUGUUCAAGUAGAGGGUACAGCGGGUUGCGGGAGAGUGGACUGCUGUAGAUAGAUGGGGGAAGGUGAUGAAGAUGUUGGUGAAGAUGACGGAGGUGUUGGUGUAGAUCGCGGUGAUGAUGAUGGCCCCGGCGGCGUUCCGGCGCCACCGGAAGCGAGGGGGAGAGCCCCCCUCCUUCUUCUUCUUCCUUGACCUUCUUCCUAGAUGGGAGAAGGGUUUCCCCUCUGGUACAUGGUCUCCAUGGCGUGGGAGGGGCGAGAGCCCCUCCGAGAUUGGAUCUGUCUCUCUGUUUCUGCGCUCUUGAUUCUGCCCUUUCACCGUUUCUUUUAUAACCAGAGAUCCGUAACUCCGAUUGGGCUGAAUUUUGGACACGAUCUCUAUCCGGAAAUUAGCUUUCUUGCGCCGUCAGAAGGGCUCAAACCGCCUUACGGGGUGGCCACGAGGGCCCAGAGUGCGCCUGACCCCCUGGGGCGCGCCCCCUGCCUCGUGGCCCCCUCGGGCAUCGUAUCGCGUUGAUUCUUCUUCCCAAAAAUCACAAAUAUUCCAAAAAAAUCUCCGUCAGUUUUUAUCCCAUUUGGACUACGAUUGAUAUGGGUUUUCUGUGAAACAAAAAUAUGCAACAAACAGGAACUGGCACUGGGCACUGGAUCAAUAUGUUAGUCCCAAAAAUAGUAUAAAAAGUUGCCAAAAGUAUAUGAAAGUUGCAUAAUAUUGGCAUGGAACAAUCAAAAAUUAUAGAUACGACGGAGACGUAUCAGGAAUCGAUCACGGAGGGCUUCUACAUCAACACCAUAUCCUCUUCGAUGAAGCGUGAGUAGUUUUCCACAGACCUUUGGGUCCAUAGUUAUUAGCUAGAUGGCUUCUCCUCUCUCUUUGAUUCUCAAUACAAAGUUCUCCUCGAUGUUCUUGGAGAUCUAUUCGAUGUAAUACUUUUUGCGGUGUGUUUGCCGAGAUCCGAUGAAUUGUGGAUUUAUGAUCAAGAUUAUCUAUGAAUAAUAUUUGGUUCUUCUCUGAAUUCUUAUAUGCAUGAUUUGAUAUCUUUGCAAGUCUCUUCGAAUUAUCGGUUUAGUUUGGCCUACUGGAUUGAUCUUUCUUGCAAUGGGAGAAGUGCUUAGCUUUGGGUUCAAUCUUGCGGUGUCCUUUCCCAGUGACAGUAGGGGCAGCAAGGCACGUAUUGUAUUGUUGCCAUCGAGGAUAAAAAGAUGGGGUUUAUAUCAUAUUGUUUGAGUUUAUCCCUCUACAUCAUGUCAUCUUGCUUAAUGUGUUACUCUGUUCUUAUGAACUUAAUACUCUAGAUGCAUGCUGGAUAGCGGUCGAUGUGUGGAGUAAUAGUAGUAGAUGCAGAAUCGUUUCGGUCUACUUGACAUGGACGUGAUGCCUAUAUUCAUGAUCAUUGCCUAGAUAUUCUCAUAACUAUGCGCUUUUCUAUCAAUUGCUCGGCAGUAAUUUGUUCACCCACCGUAAUACAUGCUAUCUUGAGAGAAGCCACUAGUGAAACAUAUUGUCCCCCGGGUCUAUUUUACAUUACAUAAGUUUCUGAUCUAUAAUUCUAGUUUCCUAUUUAUUUUAUUUUGCAAUCUUUACUUUCCAAUCUAUACAACAAAAAUAUCAAAAAUAUUUAAUUUUGCGAGUGACCGUGAAGGGAUUGACAACCCCUUUAUCGCGUUGGUUGCAAGGUUCUUGAUUGUUUGUGCAGGUACUAGGUGACUUGCGUGUAAUCUCCUACUGGAUUGAUACCUUGGUUCUCAAAAACUGAGGGAAAUACUUACGCUACUUUGCUGCAUCACCCUUUCCUCUUCAAGGGAAAACCAACGCAUGCUCAAGAGGUAACAAGAAGGAUUUCUGGCGUCGUUGACGGGGAGAUCUACGCUCAAGUCAAGACAUACCAAGUACCCAUCAUAAACUCUUCUCCCUCGCAUUACAUUAUUUGCCAUUCGCCUCUCGUUUUCCUCUCCCCCACUUCUAAAAAGAUUUUCAAAAACCUUUGCCUUUCUAUCGUCAUGGCCGUACCAAAAGGGGCUAAGGGUUUUCUCCCGGGUUUUAAUACUUUGGAUAGUCCCUCUAUCCUUUCUAAGCUCAUAAAUAAUGAUGCUAUGGAAAGACCUACCGGGGUUAUCGAUGAGAGUUUGAAUAAUUUCGAUGAAGAUGACCCUGGAAUUUUUCGUUAUUUGCUUGAUGAAACUUUGAAAGAUGCUUGGGAUAGGCUAUUGAGGAUCCAAGCCAGCUAUGUGCCCCAAUAUCAAAUCGAGAUAUACUUAAAAAGUUUUUAUGUUGGCUUACUGUCGCGGAAUUGUCACGGCAGAUGUCCUAGUGAAAGGACUUAGUCAUGGAGCCAUCGCAACAGGUUAGCUAAAGGGGUUAAACCGGACAAGGGACACGAGAGUUUUAUACUAGUUCGGCCCCUUACAAUGAAGGUAAAAUCCUACGUCUAGUUGUGAUGGAAUUGCUGGGGUUUCGAUGAUCAGGGAGCAAAUAUGCUUCGCGUGAGUCUCGAGUUGUUAUCUGUUGUCCUUGAACCGCCGCCGGGUCGUGCCUUUAUAUACACAGGUCGACGCCCGCCGGCUUACAGAGUCCCAACGCCGGUUUAUACACAUAUCGGCCUGGUCUCUACUUAGUCAUGCCUUAUAAUACAAGUCAUGAAUUACAUGGCGGUUUAUAACUACAGGCUUUAAUCUACCUUUGAGCCUUGGGCCUUCAAGUCUCUGUAAUAAUCCGCUUUAUCCUUGUCUUCAUGGGCUUUAAGCAUAAACAAUCCAUUAUGGGGAUAACCCGGCUAUCUUGGCCGGUUUACACCUAGUAGUAAUAUCCCCAACAUUAGGCCCCAGAUUGAUUUGAACUGGUUCAUGUCAAUCUCCAAAACCUUGAGAAAAUUUCUUCUUCCAUAUCUUCGCAUAAAUCUUGUAAACCGCCAUGACGUCAUCAUCCAGAAUCAUAAUAAACCGCCAUGACGUCACUUGUUAUUUUAAAUGGUAUAUUCCUCACCUUCAUUAAUGAGCCUCCGAUAAUCGAGGCGACAAAUCUGUCACAUAUCCAUUUGUUAAGCUCCUCGAUUCUCGUGCUUGACCCUUAUCCUUUCGUCAUACGGCCGAGGGCCCUUUCCAUCUCUCCCUUUUCCUCUUCAAGUCUUCUUCUUCCUCGCGACGCCUCAGUGCCCGAACUCCGCCGCCGCCGUCGACCUUCGCGUCUACACCAACCGAGGCCGCUGCAUCAACCUGUUUUGACCAGAGAACUACGACGCACCUCCGCUGUUCAGCAGCACCAGUAAGUAUUCCUCUCCUCGAACGUCAGAUCUGCAUUAGGGUUUCCAUUGUUCGUCGGUGUUCUUCACCGUUCAUCUUUCCUUUCCUAGAUCGCAUAGUUUUGAUCCGAAUCUGAUAGCAAAGGCGAGCUUCAGUAGUUUAGCGCCCCUUUUAAUCCUCAAAAAGCACCCUUUCCUGCAUAAGAUCCCAUCCAAGCAUAUGUGUUCUUCCACUGUCACGGCUUUAGGUUAGAUUUAUUUCCUCUUUUUAGAACUGUGGCAGAUCUAGAUUUAUAUCACCAAUUUGUGAAAUCUGUUUGCACCAUACUUAGAAAUUUUUGCAAAUGUGUAGCCUCUUUACCAUUGUGGGUGGUUUAUCCUUGAACCUGUGAUAACUCAUCAUAUACCAUUAGCCCUCUAUUAAACCGCCAACCUGUUUUAAACCGGAUAUUGUACUUCCAUCAUUGCACCGGUUUAUAAGUUAUAACCAUGAACUUUAAACCGGAUAUUGUGCUUUUUUCCAGCUUGUCACCAAAAAUGGCCAAACAAUUCUUUUCCUGUAAUUGGGUUCCUUCCCGGGUUACGGAAACGCAGCUGGCUGGUUAUGUUUCAACGGGCGCUUUAGCAAGUAAGAACACUAUCCAUUGGCGAGUCCCCGGCCUAGAAUCUCCUCCUGAACCCCAAGACGAAGAAGUUAUUGUAUUUGUUGAUCACCUAAGCCGAGGCUUCACUCCUCCCGGAUCAAAAUUCUUCCGUGACGUGCUUGCCGCCUUUCAAAUCCAUCCCCAAGGCAUCGGUCCAAACUCCAUAUCCAAUAUUUGUGACUGGCAAGUAUUCUAUGAGGUAUACCUGCAAGAGGAGCCUAUUGUUGAUCUGUUCCGGGAUUUCUUUUAUCUAAACCGCCAUACUGAGUUUACGGAUGGCCCCAAUACUGAACUAGGUGGGGUUUCAAUUCAGAAGAGGAGAGAUGUUGAUUUCCCUCAUGCCAAGCUUCAUAGUCAUCCUAAGGACUGGAAUCAGACUUGGUUCUACUGCCGCAACACAGCUCCAGUCAAUGAAAAUCCUUUGCCGGGUUACCGUCCACAGCGGCUUACCCAAACUCAUCCCUUUCCUCAGCGGUUGACGGCCCAAGAGCGAGCAAAAUAUGCCCCUCAACUAGCCAAGCUCAGAGCGUUUAUUGCAAAUGGGCUGACAGGCGUGGAUUUUGUCCGAUGCUGGGUUUCAUGGAGCAUUUUACCUUUAAGCCGGCGGCCCGGUUUAAUGUGUGAAUACACAGAGGAUCUGAAAGACCCGCAACGCCAUAUUGACAUCCAGCUGACUGAUGAUGAAGUCACUGAAGCUGUUAAAAAGAUGCUUAAUGAACCAAUAGACGCAUGCAGCAAAACCGGGCUCAGUCCUUUCUAUGCUGCCAAUAAACCGCCAAAGGUAUAAUCUUCCGUAUUUCUGCCUUUAACCAUCCUUUGUUAAAUUUUUCCUUUGAUGACUUAUUAUUUGUCUAUACAAGCCGAUGAUCCAUUCCGGAAGAGAAAAUCACAAGAUAAACCAAUAAAGAAUCCUCGGAUUAAGAUCAAGGCUUCAAAAAAGCCUGGAAAAAGAAGGAACGUUGAACCGUCUGAGCCUAUUAUUGAAGAUGAUCCGGAUUCAGAGGUAGAACUUGACUCUCUCAGUUCACUUUUUAUACACCUUAUUGACAAUGAUCAUUCUCAGGAUGAAGCGGAAGCCAGCCAUGUUGAUGAGGUAACUAUUCUUUCUUCUGAUUCUGAUCCUGUGCCAGUACCAAGAAUCCGUCGAGCCAUUCGAAAAGUAAAAUUUCCAUGCCCUCUUUCUUAUGUGGACCCGCACUUUCUUUUAAAGACACAGCAGCAUGAAGCUCGCCGCACAACUCGACAUAGCGGCCAAGUGGUGUCCUCCUCCGGUUUACCAAAUUCGCCGAUUCACAAACGCCGCCAAGAGGUUGCUUAUACUCCUGACACCCUUUACCCUAAGGUGGGUUACAUCCGAUAUCCUCUUAAUCCGUCUAACUCAAAUUAUCAGGGAACUUCCCAUUCAUCGUCCGGCGAGUCGUUAGCGACACAACUUCCUCCUCUGAAAACUGUCCCUGGGUAAUCAUAAUAUACUCUUAACUCUUUGGUCUUGUAUUAUUUUAUCAUAUUGAUCUUCGUGUCUGCUCUCUUUUUCAGUGCUAAAGCCAGACCAAGCAAGAAGGCUAAAUUGAACAAGCCAACCGACCAUGAACCGGCUACCGAGCCAGAGAAAACCCCAGAGGCUAUUGACCCGGAGGCUGACACUGUUACUGAUAAUCCGGAACCUCAAGCAACUGAUACACUUGUUGAACCGGUAUAAAAUAAUCUGCCAAGCCAGUCAGCUGAUCCACUUAGUCGAACUGUUGAUCCGCCGAGCCCGGCUAAAGAAUCUGAUAAACCGCCAAGUCCUGCCAAAACUACAGACGACGAUGUUGUCGUAACUGGCCUUGGUUUCAGCUCCUCUGGUCGUCCUGUCGCUUUAUCAAAGCAUAGCGCCAAAGAAAUUUCUGCUAUGGAUAAAGGGAAAUGGAAAUCCGAGCUAUCCAACUAUUCCAACCUCAGCGCUCAAGAGCUACAUUCUGGUUUUUUAAACCGCCUGUAUACAAACCGCGACUUUGAAGCCGGUUUAGUAGGCCUGAUGAAGGAGCGGUAUGAGGUAAAUGUCACUUUCCCUUUGCAUAAAUAUUCCAAUAGUCCUUUUGUUAAAACUGGUCCAAUAUAUCAACUCUAGUAGCCCCCAAGGGCCGGUUCAUAACAUUGGUUUGAACCGGGUCUUGAAUCGAUAUUUGCAUUUUGCUGGUGUAGCCCCCAUGAACCGGCUUAUAUCUUUUAGAAUGAACCGGUACAUCCUAUUAAUCUCACCACUUAUAAUGAUGACCAUCCAUCUGAAUCUGAAUGAAUACACAUUAGCCCCCAAGUAUCAAGUAGAUAACUUGUUACGUGCUUGAGACUUUAAAUGAAUAGCUGAUAAGAAGCAAUCCGCAUUAGCCCCCAAGUGUCAAGUAGAUAACUUGUUAUGUGGUUGAGACUUCAAUGUUGUAAUGCUAACUUAUUAUCUGUAUGCUUGCAGGCUGAGUUGUCCAAAAAAGACUCCCAAAUCACUGAUCUCAAAGAAAACAUCAAGUCUCAAGUGGACGAAACUUGCAAAGUUAAGAGCGAGCUGACCACCGCUUUAACAACCAUGGAGCAGCUGAAGGAAUUCUUCAAAGGUGAACGGCCAGAUUCGGCAACUGAAAAGACCACCUUGUUAAAGCGGGCAGAAGAUGCAGAGAACGCCCUUAAAUUGGCCACAGAAGAGCUGAGCAGCCUGAAGCGGCACAUUGAUGCUAUGACCUCUGCCAUCUUUGGUAACAACCUCUUCACCAAUCUGUAACAACACCAGCUAUAAAAACUUCUGGUUUAAUAAAAAUUGGAUCCUUUUGCAGGUAGCCGUGUUACUCAUCUUGGCACAAAUAUGCGCAAAAGAUUGAAGGUCGUCUAUACUUUGGCAGAGCAGCUUUAUACCGGCGUGCAACGGGCCAUCUGCACAGCUUCCAAUAACCAUCCACCACCGUCGCUAAUCAAGGAAACACUGGAAAAAUUGUCUAUGAUGCCUGCCCGGAUUGUGGAAUUGAAGAAAUCCGCUGCUAGGUCCGGUGCCCUUACUGCACUGGCGCGCGCCAAGGCCUGGAUCUCUGACCUUGAUCCGGAAGACAUUGGUAACGGUUACCCGAGUCAAAAAGAGGACAGUUCAGAAUUCAGCAAUGAUGAUCUCUGGGCUAUCACGAGAGAGAUGCGACCACUGGCAAGCAAAUUGGCUGAAGAUACUAACUUGUCAAUUUAUCAGAAUGUAUAUGAUGCCAGCAGCAAGCGAAUAAGUGCUCCAACUUAUGAUGUGGAAAAUCUGAUACCGUCGAUCCGUAAGUACACUUACGCUCCUGAUGUUGAACCGUCUGAUCUGAUACACGACGAAGCUGUCUUUCAAGCCUUAACAGGGAUUGAUUGGACAACUAUUAACUUCCAGCCGUUGGGCGGAGAGAAGGAGGAUGAACCGGCGCAAGAAGAUCCGCUACCUUCACAUCAACCUGAAGCAGAAUCAUAAUCCGGAACCCGGUUUAAUUUGUUCCUUCUAUUAUCCUUGAAAAACAAUCAUUCUUUUGGGCAGUCUAAACGCCUUGUAAUAGGCUAGCUUGAACAGCUGAUCUGAUAUGCCAUCAUGCAUACUUGUUGCACACAAUAUUAUUAGUCCAUCAUGCUAUAUUUGCUUAUGAUCUUUAUCGGUUUUAUACAGCCCUGUUUCUGCAUAAAACAAAGUGAAAAUUGUCCUGGCGGUUUACCGCUGGACGGGUCAUAACACCCAAUAUAUAGCCAAGGUUGAUAACCAUAGCUUUGAAUAAUGAAAUAUGAAACAUAUCAUACCUGUGAUAUUGAAUCACCUUGUUGGUCUACUAACAUUUUUGUAAUAAGGGUGAUAACCCAAAUAUUGAGUAUUGAUAACUCAACCCAUGUUACGCUGGUAAAAAACAAGCGAUGCCAGGUUAUGAUAAACACCGGAUGAUCAUCCUGGCAACUUAUAGUUAACUCCAGGCCGGGUUAAAUAACACCGAUUUAUACGGAUGACUUACAAUCAGGCCGGGCCAUUGGACGCCGGAUUAGCUCAAAACUUUAACAAGGGAGAAAAACAAAAUUGACCAAUAAAAACCAGAGAAUAAAGAAAAACUUGUAGUCGAGGCUUUUCAAGGGCUGCCAGGCCACUGAGUUAAACCGUUUUACAAAGCCUUUUAAGAUGGUCCUCAGUCUUUAACCAAUCGCUGGUCUAUCAUUGACAAGUUCAGGGUCAUAUGCGAUUGACUUGUCAAGUUGGCGGGUCAUACCAGGCUUACCUGGGCAGAGUGACUUACUUAAUGAAGGCAGGUUAACCCGGGGUUUUAGGUAUAUAUACCAGGCUUCCAAGCCAGGGCUUGAUAGCCUAUUGCAAGUGUAGAUUUUCUUUGUUCAUUGCGAUAGCAAAGAAUCCCCAAGCAACAUUUUGAGCUGUGCUCAACGGGUGCCUAUGUUUGAGUUGUUCUUGACAACACUCUUUGGCCCCUAAGUAAUGGCAUUGUGCCAGCCAAAAGGUGUAGCUAUGGUUGAACACAACCAAUCCCCCAAGUGACUUAAUGUCGUGGCUUUCGAGCCAGCCAAGAGGUGUAGCUAUGGUUCGAAUACGACCAAGCCCCCAAGUGACUUACUGUCGUGGCUUUUGAGCCAGCCAAGAGGUGUAGCUAUGGUUCGAAUAUGACCAAGCCCCCAAGUGACUUACUGUCGUGGCUUUUGAGCCAGCCAAGAGGUGUAGCUAUGGUUCGAAUACGACCAAGCCCCCAAGUGACUUAUAUUGAAUAGAUAGCUGUAAAGCUGAAUCAAAGGGUAAACCGGAUGUCGCUUCACAAACAGAAUCCUCCGUGUAACCACUCAUGAUAUGAGAAAAACAACAGAUACCCCGCUUUAGCUGGGGCUCCGAUUUAUUGCAUUGAUCAUAAUAUAUACAUCGUCAAAAUAUGUACAUGAUAGGAGCCUAUGGCUCAGGUGUAGUACGGCCGUAGAUGAGCUAUGUUCCACGGCCGGAUCGUCUCCUCCUCUGACUUGCGUGAGUCUUUAUGCUCUCGAACAUCAAUGAGGUAAUAUGAUCCGUUGUUCAGAUUCUUGCUGACCACAAAGGGCCCUUCCCAAGGCGGGGAUAACUUGUGCAUAUCGGUCUCAUCUUGGAUAAGCCGGAGCACUAGAUCGCCUUCUUGAAAAGUUCUGGUUUUAACUCGGCGACUAUGAUAACGCCGCAGGUCUUGCUGAUAAAUCGCCGAGCGAGCCGCCGCUACGUCCCAUUUCUCAUCCAACAGGUCCAACGCAUCCUGGCGUGCUCUUUCAUUAUCUGCUUCAACAUAAGCUGCCACUCGAGGUGAGUCAUGACGAAUAUCACUUGGAAGGACGGCUUCCACUCCAUAAACCAUGAAGAAGGGUGUAUAACCCGUAGAUCUAUUGGGGGUGGUGUUAAUGCUCCAUAAAACGGAAGGCAGCUCCUCAACCCAACAACCCGGUGUCCUCUGCAAAGGAACCAUAAGCCGGGGCUUGAUCCCCUUCAAGAUUUCCUGAUUAGCUCUCUCCGCUUGACCAUUAGACUGGGGGUGGGCCACUGAAGAGAUAUCAAGAAGGAUGUGCUCUCUUUGACAGAACUCCUCCAUAGCACCCUUGGAAAGAUUCGUGCCAUUGUCUGUUAUAAUGCUGUGUGGAUAACCAAAACGGAAUAUCACCUUCUUCAUAAAUUGAACCGCUGUGGCUGCAUCACAUUUGCUAACUGGCUCUGCCUCCACCCACUUGGUAAAUUUAUCAACCGCCACCAAGAGGUGGGUCUUCUUAUCCUUAGAUCUCUUAAAGGGUCCAACCAUAUCAAGCCCCCAGGUUGCAAACGGCUAGGUAAUUGGAAUCAUCCUCAGCUCCUGAGCCGGAACAUGAGCCCGGCGUGCAAACUUCUGACAGCCAUCGCACCUUUUAACCAAGUCCUCAGCAUCAGCAUGAGCCGUCAGCCAAUAGAAACCAUGACGAAAAGCCUUAGCCACCAAGGACUUUGAACCGGCAUGAUGACCACAAUCACCUUCGUGAAUCUCGCGUAAAAUUUCGCGACCUUCUUCAGGAGAAACACAACGUUGAAAAGCCCCUGAGAUACUGCAAUGAUGUAGCUCGCUGUUGACAAUAGUCAUGGACUUGGAACGCCGCAUUAUCUGCCUGGCCAGAACUUCAUCCUCUGGUAAUUCACCCCGGUUCAUAUACGCCAAUAUGGGAUCGUCCAAUCCGGGGUGACAUGAAGCGCCGCCACCAACUGAGCCUCCGGAUCAGGAAUAGCUAAGUCUUCCUCCGUGGGUAGCUUGACCGACGGGUUAUGCAAAACAUCAAGGAAAGCAUUAGGCGGCACCGGUUUACGCUGGGAGCCCAACCGGCUUAAAGCGUCCGCCACUUCAUUCUUUCGCCGGUCUACAUGAUCAACCUGAUAACCCUUGAAAUGACCUGCAACAAUAUCCACCUCUCAACGAUACGCUGCCAUGAGGGGGUCCUUGGAAUCCCAAGUACCAGAAACUUGUUGAGCCACUAGGUCCGAGUCACCAAAACAUUUAACCCGGCUCAGAUUCAUCUCCUUAGCCAUCCGAAGACCAUGGAGCAGGGCCUCGUACUCAGCUGCAUUAUUAGUACAAGGAAACAUCAAGCGGAGAACAUAACAAAAUUUGUCACCUCGAGGGGAAGUAAGAACUACUCAAGCCCCCGAGCCCUCCAAUUGCUUGGAUCCGUCGAAAUGAAUUGUCCAGUAUGUGUUAUCUGGUCUAUCCUCCGGCACCUGCAACUCUGUCCAGUCAUUGAUGAAGUCCACGAGUGCUUGAGACUUGACGGCCGUGCGAGGCAUAUAUUUUAAUCCGUGAGGCCCAAGCUCAAUAGCCCACUUAGCGACCCGGCCGGUCGCUUCUCUGUUCUGGAUGAUAUCUCCCAAAGGAGCAGAAUUGACCACCGUAAUGGGAUGGCCCUGAAAGUAUUGCUUUAGCUUCCGGCUCGCCAUAAAAACCCCAUAUACAAGCUUCUGCCAAUGUGGAUAUCUCUAUUUUGACUCAAUGAGCACCUCACUGAUAUAAUAAACCGGCCAUUGAACCGGAUACUCCUUUCCUGCCUCCUUGCGCUCCACCACAAUAGCCACGCUGGCAGCUCGAGCAUUAGCAGCCACAUAUAACAGCAAUGGUUCCUUGUCCAUGGGAGCAGCAAGAACAGGUGGUUCGGCAAGCUGCCGCUUCAGAUCCUCAAAUGCUUCAUUAGCCGCAUCACUCCAAACAAAGUUGUCUGUUUUCUUCAGCACUUGAUAUAAAGGGAUGGCCUUCUCCCCGAGACGACUUAUAGACCGACUCAAUGCUGCAAUCCGGCCUGCAAGUCGCUGAACAUCGUUGAUGCACUUCGGUUUAGUCAGUGAAGUAAUAGCCUUGAUCUUCUCCGGAUUAGCUCCAAUGCCCCUGUUAGAUACCAGAAAACCCAAAAGCUUGCCUGCUGGCACACCAAAAACACACUUGGCCGGGUUGAGCAUCAUCUUAUAAACCCGGAGGUUAUCAAAGGUCUCCUUUAAAUCAUCUAUUAAUGUUUCCUCCUUCCUAUACUUCACCACAAUAUCAUCCACAUAAGCAUGGACGUUGCGCCCAAUCUGGUUAUGAAGACAAUUCUGAACACAGCGCUGAUAAGUUGCCUGGGCACUCUUGAGCCCAAAGGGCAUGGACACAUAGCAGAAGGCUCCAAAGGGAGUUAUAAAAGCUGUCUUCUCUUGGUCCUUCACUGCCAUCUUAAUAUGAUGAUAACCUGAAUAAGCAUCCAGAAAACUCAAACGCUCACAACCCGCCGUAGCAUCAAUGAUUUGAUCGAUACGGGGGAGGGCAAAAGGAUCCGUCGGACAUGCUUUGUUCAAAUCCGUGUAAUCUACACACAUACGCCAGGUGCCAUUCUUCUUAAGCACCAGCACCGGAUUAGCCAACCACUCCGGAUGAAAAACUUCAACAAUGAACCCUGCCGCCAAGAGCCGGGCUACCUCCUCACCAAUAGCCUUGCGCCUCUCUUCAUUGAACCGGCGAAGGAAUUGUUGGACCGGUUUAAACUUGGGAUGAAUAUUCAGGGUGUGCUCAGCGAGUUCCCUCGGUACACCUGGCAUGUCAGAAGGCUUCCAUGCAAAGAUAUCCCGAUUCUCACGGACGAACUCGAUGAGCGCGCUUUCCUAUUUCGGAUCCAGAUUUGCACUGAUGAUGAACUAUUUAGAUGAAUCGCCGGGCACAAAAUCAACCAUCUUAGUCUCAUCAGCCGAUUUAAACUUCAAGGCCGGAUCAUGCUCCGUGGUUGGUUUCUUCAAGGAAGUCAUGUCCGCCGGAUCAACGUUGUCCUUAUAGAACUUCAACUCCUCUGCUGCACAAACCGACUCAGCAUAGGCCGCAUCACCUUCCUCACACUCCAAAGCGAUCUUGCGGCUUCCAUGUAUUGUGAUAGUCCCUUUAUGACCCGGCAUCUUGAGCUGCAGAUAAACAUAACAGGGUCGUGCCAUGAACUUAGCAUAAGCUGGCCGCCCAAACAAGGCAUGAUACGGGCUUUGGAUUUUCACCACUUCGAAAGUCAAUGUCUCUGAUCUUGAGUCAUACUCAUCUCCAAAAGCGACCUCCAGAGCUAUUUUACCAACCGGAUAGGCUGAUUUGCCGGGCACCACACCAUGGAAAAUAGUGUUCGACGGUUUAAGGUUCUUAUCUGUCAAUCCCAUACGACGGAAGGUGUCAUAAUAUAAUAUGUUGAUACUGCUGCCUCCGUCCAUGAGCACCUUAGUGAACUUAUAACCUCCAACCUGAGGUGCCACCACCAACGCCAAAUGACCCGGAUUGUCAACCCGGGGCGGGUGAUCCUCUCGGCUCCAGACGAUAGGCUGCUCAUACCAUCGUAAAUAAUGAGGCACUGCCGGUUCAACCGAGUUCACCGCUCGUUUAUGAAGCUUCUGAUCGCGCUUGCAUAAGCUGGUGGUGAAAACGUGGUACUGUCCACCAUUCAACUGCUUUGGGUGACUUUGGUACCCUGACUGUUGCUACUGUGGUCCUUGUUGGCUAUAACCACCCUGGUUGCUCUGAUUGCCUUGAUUGCCAUGUCUGCCCUGAUUGCCUUGGAAUCCUGAACCGGGAUUGCCUCCUCCAUAACCCGGCCCAUAGGACCCGGGUCCCGAACCGCCGGAUGGUCCAUGAUCAUUCCGGAAGAGGUCUGAAUUUUUGAAUUCUCGCAUGAUGUAACAAUCUUUCCAGAGGUGCGUGGUCGGUUUAUCCGGCGUUCCAGGAUGCUUCGGGCAGGGUUGGUUCAACAGGUAAUUCAGGCGCUCCGGAUUAGGACUGGGCUCUGCCCUUCUCGGGGGCAGCUUUCCUUUACGACACUGACCAUUACCUUGUGUAUUGGUGUUAGCCACAAAAUCUGAAUUAUGAUCUGCUUUCCGCUUACCAUUAUUAUUGUGGCCCAUCGGGUUAUGUUGCUGCCCCUUGGCGUUGCCGCUCUUCUUUCCCUUCCCCGGCUUGUCAUCGUCAGACUCGGGGUCCUUGGUACUAUCAGAAUCAGCAUACUUAACCAGAGUAGCCAUAAGUGUUCCUAUAUCAUUGCAGUGACGCUUGAGCCGUCCCAACUUCAACUUUAAAGGCUGAAACUGACAAUUCCCCUCGAAUGUUAUAAUCGCCGAGUCGGCUUUGAUGUGAUCCGAAGAAUGUAAGAUCUCUGAAACCCGGCGCACCCAAUGGGUUGUUGACUCGCCUUCUCCCUGGACGCAGGCGGCUAAGUCCACAAUUGACAUAGGUUGCUUGCAUGUGUCUUUGAAGUUUGCUAUAAACCGGGCUUUCAACUCAGCCCAUGUCUCGAUGGAAUUAACUGGUAAGUCUUUCAACCACGUGCGAGCUGUUCCAUCCAACAUCAUAGCGAAAUAUUUCGCGCAGGCCGCUUCAUUCACAUCUAACAUCUCCAUAGCCAUCUCAUAACUCUCGAUCCAUGACUCAGGAGGCAAAUCAGCGGUGUAAUUAGGCACCUUACGGGGGCCCUUGAAAUCCUUGGGCAGCCGUACAUUGCGCAAAGCCGGGACGAGGCAGGGCACCCCCCAAGAGCUGAAAGUAAGGCCUUGCUCUACGGAAACCACCGGACGAACCAGAGUGAGCUGACGGUCCUGCGCAGCUAACUCGGCUUCACGACAUGCUCCGUUGUUCACCACAUCCUGAGCAUGUGCCCCACCACGCGCCGAAUUAGGCCCUCGAGGAGCGUCUCGGUUCCGCGCACUGCUUGACACAGCCGGUUCAUCAAUGUGCCUGCUAUAACUCUGGCUCGGGCGUGGGGUUGAAUGAAUUCUGUCUCGGCUGUAUGAAUAAGCCUGCUGCUGCAUCAUAGCCGUCUGAAGAAGAUCUCUAGCACGCCGCGUCUCAACCAUCGCUGGGGAUUCACCCUCCAUUGGGAUAGCGGCUAAUUGUGAUGCGGUCGCGAUCAUAUUAUCCAAAGGGGUGGAGAAGUGACCCGGCGGUGCCGGUACAAUCUGCAGCGGGUUAUGGGUCCUUCGAGGGGGAUCCGUCAUCCGUGGCUGGUCCGGUGCUCUGGCCCUCGGCGCCUCAAUCCGGUUCACCGCUGCCGGAUUACUGGUUCCUGCUCCUGGCGUUCCAAAGAGAUUCAUUGCCUCAUAAACCGGUGGUAGUCGUGACUAAUGCCUUCUCCUUAACACGUCAUUUGAAGCGUUCUGAUCCAACAGGAGUCGAUAAUUUUCUGCCUGAAUCCGCUGUGCUUGUGCCUCUAAAGCGACCCGCUCCUGAGCCAUCAUGGUUUCUUCAGCCGCUAAGUCCUCCUUAGCUUGAGUUAUCUGAUCCUGCAGCUUCGCCACCUCCGCAUUAUCAGCUUCGCCACCUCCGCAUUAUGCUGAUCUUGCGUAUCGGCGGUAACUUGUGUGGUCAGUAAGGCCGUCCAGGCGUCCAAUAAAUCGGACAAGAUUUGGGCCGGCCGGCGCGCGGGGCCUCCCGCCCCAGCUGCCGAUCCGGAAAUUAUUGCUGCUGCGGUUGAAGAUUGCAACGUGGGCUGAGUUCCAGCCAUGAAGAUCGCAACCCGGUUUGCCGGUUCAAAGGGGUCCGGAAUACUGUCGCCAUCGGAAUAGCCCCCAAACUGGCCAUCUUGCAGUUGGUACUGUGACUCGGUCUCCCCGGUGGACGACUCGUCAUCUGAGUGGAUGACGGUCUCGCCAUCGGACGCCGGUUCAAGUUCCGUACCAUUGAUGAAGCCUACGAAUGCACAUUUCACGGUGGGCUGAACCCGGGCAGGGCUUGCACGCUGAGCCGUCUCGACGAGGUCGGUGCAUAUGUCCGGCUCAGGGCCCGGUUCGCCGAUCUUGCCGAUGAAGACGUGAAUUCCUCCAAAGGGGACCCGGUACCCGUACUCGAUUGAGCCGGCCUCGGGGCCCCAGCCUGCAUCGUCGAUGUAGAGCUUGCCGCGACGACUCUUGGUCAUCCGGCCCACGGCGUAUCCCUUGAGCCCUUCGAAAUUGCCCUUCAAGAACUCGAAACCAUUGCGCGAUAGCCCCACGGUGGGCGCCAACUAUCGCGGAAUUCUCACGGCAGAUGUCCUAGUGAAAGGACUUAGUCGUGGAGCCAUCGCAAUGGGUUAGCUUAAAGGGGUUAAACCGGACAAGGGACACGAGAGUUUUAUACUAGGUCGGCCCCUUACGAUGAAGGUAAAAGCCUACGUCUAGUUGUGAUGGAAUUGCUGGGGUUUCAAUGAUCAGGGAGCAAAUAUGCUUCGCCUGAGUCUCGAGUUGUUAUCUGUUGUCCUUGAACCACCGCCGGGUCGUUCCUUUAUAUACACAGGUCGACGCCCGCCGGCUUACAGAGUCCCGACGCCGGUUUAUACACAUACCGGCCCGGUCUCUACUUCGUCGUGCCUUAUAAUACAAGUCAUGAAUUACAUGGUGGUUUAUAACUACAGGCUUUAAUCUACCUUUGAGCCUUGGGCCUUCAAGUCUCUGUAAUAAUCCGCUUUAUCCUUGUCUUCAUGGGCUUUAAGCAUAAACAAUCCAUUAUGGGGAUAACCCGGCUAUCUUGGCCGGUUUACACCUAGUAGUAAUAUCCCCAACACUUACCAUCUUCUUUCAAGCAAGUUUUGGAUUCUAUUUUUGAAGAAGGUUCUCUUGAGGGGGGUGCCAUCGAUACCUAUGAAAAGAUGAAAACUAUAUUUGGGCACCCUAUGAGUGAAAAGGUUGAAUCUACUUCUCUUUUGUGUUUUUAUCAGAAUGAAAUUAUCAAAGAGAUGAAGGCCAGUUUAGAUGCAAAUUUUCGUAGUGUGCUUAAUCUUUCUUCUACCAUUAAUGGCCACGUGCUUUCACAAAAUAGAAAGAUAAGUGCUUUAGAUAAUAAACUUUCUCUUUAUCACCAAAAGGGAGAAGAUGGCAAUACCUAGAUCUAUUCUUGUUUUUAUGCCUAGCUAGGGGCGUUAAACGAUAGCGCUUGUUGGGAGGCAACCCAACUUUAUUUUUGUUCUUCAUUUUUUGUUCCUGAUUAGUAAUAAAUAAUUCAUAUAGCCUAUUUUUAGAUGUGGUUUUAUGUUUUAAUUAGUGUUUGUGCCAAGUAGAACCUUUGGGAAGACAUGGGUGAAGUCUUUGCAAUCUUGCUGCAAAAAACAGAAACUUUUGCGCUCACAAGAUUAGAUGCCAUUUUUUACUGGAGAGUGAUUUUAGGUUGAUUCUUUUUUAAGAUGAUUAAUCGACAAAUUACUCACGUCCACCAAUUUAUUUCAGAAUUUUUGGAGUUCGAGAAGUAUUCGUUUGAUACAGAUUUCUACAGACUGUUCUGUUUUGACAGAUUCUGUUUUUCGUGUGUUGUUUGCUUAUUUUGAUGAAUCUAUGAGUAGUAUCGGGGGGUAUGAACCAUAGAGAAGUUAGAAUACAUUAGGUUUAACACCAAUAUAAAUAAAGAAUGAUUUCAUUACAGUACCUUAAAGUGGUGGUUUAUUUUCUUAUACUAACGGAGCUCAUGAGAUUUUCUGUUUAAGUUUUGUGUUGUGUAGUUUUCAAGUUUUGAGUAAAGAUUUCAUGGAUUUUGGAAUAAGGAGUGGAAAGAGCCUAAGCUUGGGGAUGCCCAAGGCACCCCAAGGUAAAAUUCAAGGACAACCAAAAGCCUAAGCUUGGGGAUGCCCCGGAAGGCAUCCCCUCUUUCGUCUUCGUAUAUCGGUAACUUUACUUGAGGCUAUAUUUUUAUUCACCACAUGAUAUGUGUUUUGCUUGGAGCGUCUUGUAUGAUUUGAGUCUUUGCUUUUUAGUUUACCACAAUCAUCCUUGUUGUACACACCUUUUGGAGAGACACGCAUGAAUCAGAAUUUAUUAGAAUACUCUAUGUGCUUUGAUGUCUCCUACGCAACCUUCUUCUUGUAGACGUUGUUGGGCCUCCGGUCAAAAAAAUGAUGAUCAUCACACUUUUAUUUACUUACAACUCAAGAAUUAUAACUCGGCGCUUAGAACAAAAUAUGACUCUAUAUGAAUGCCUCCGAUGGUGUACCAGGAUGUGCAAUGACUCAUGAGUGACAUGUAUGAAAGAAUUAUGAACGGUGGCUUUGCCACAAAUACAAUGUCAACUACAUGAUCAUGCAAAGCAAUAUGACAAUGAUGGAGCGUGUCAUAAUAAACGGAACGGUGGAAAGUUGCAUGGCAAUAUAUCUCGGAAUGGCUAUGGAAAUGCCAUAAUAGGUAGGUAUGGUGGCUGUUUUGAGGAAGGUAUAUGGUGGGUGUGUGAUGCCAGCGAAAGGUGCGCGGUAUUAGAGAGGCUAGCAAUGGUGGAAGGGUGAGAGUGCAUAUAAUCCAUGGACUCAACAUUAGUCAUAAAGAACUCAUAUACUUAUUGCCAAAAUCUAUUAGUUAUCGAAACGAAGUACUACGCGCAUGCUCCUAGGGGGAUAGAUUGGUAGGAAAAGACCAUUGCUCGUCCCCGACCGCCACUCAUAAGGAGGACAAUCAAUAAUAAAUCAUGCUCCGACUUCAUCACAUAACGGUUCACCAUACGUGCAUGCUACGGGAAUCACAAACUUUAACACAAGUAUUUCUCAAAUUCACAACUACUCAACUAGCAUGACUCUAAUAUCACCAUCUUCAUAUCUCAAAACAAUCAUAAGGAAUCAAACUUCUCAUAGUAUUCAAUGCACUUUAUAUGAAAGUUUUUAUUAUAUCCCUCUUGGAUGCCUAUCAUAUUAGGACUAAAUUCAUAACCAAAGCAAAUUACCAUGUUGUUCUAAGGACUCUCAAAAUAAUAUAAGUGAAGCAUGAGAGUUCAUCUAUUUCUCCAAAAUAAAACUACCGUCGUGCUCUAAAAAGAUAUAAGUGAAGCACUAGAGCAAACGACAAACUACUCCGAAAGAUAUAAGUGAAGAUCAAUGAGUAGUCGAAUAAUUAUGCAACUAUGUGAAGACUCUCUAACAUUUAAGAAUUUCAGACCUUGGUAUUUUAUUCAUACAGCAAGCAAAACAAAAUAAAAUGACAUUUCAAGGAUAGCACUCAGCAUGUGAAGAAGCAAAAACUUAGGCUCAACCGAUACUAACCGAUAAUUGUUGAAGAAGAAAGGUGGGAUGCCUACCGGGGCAUACCCAAGCUUAGAUGCUUGAGACUUCUUGAAAUAUUAUCUUGGGAUGCCUUAGGCAUCCCCAAGCUUGAGCUUUUGUGUCUCCUUAAUUCCUCUCAUAUCACGGUCUCCCUAAAUCUCAAGAGCUUCAUCCACACAAAACUCAACAAGGACUCGUGAGAUAAGUUAGUAUAAACCAAUGCAAAAACCUUAUCAUACUCUACUGUAGCAAAUCACUAAAAUUAUUAUUCAACAUUGCAUAGUAAAUGCCUCUGCAUAUUUAAUACUCCUAUCCUCAAAUAGAAUCAUUAAACAAGCAAACAUAUGCAAACAACGCAAACAUAACAGCAAUCUGCCAUAACAGUACAGUCUGUAAAGAAUGCAGCAAGAUACAUACUUCCCUAGCUCCAAAAAUUAUGAAAGAAAAUUCCCACUGUAGUAAAUUUAUCAAAUCUUAUUAUGCAAAAGGUUUCAACAUUUUAUCACAUUCUGAAUUUUCUAGGGAAUUUUUGCAACAGCGGUAAACUUUCUGUUUUAAAACAGCAAUAUGUAUACUUGCAAAAUAUGCAUGGUAAAAGCUAUCCUUGACAUUUUUAUCGAAACUAGAGAUGAAAAACAUUAUUCUAAAUAACAGCAAACAAAAUAAAAUGACGCUCCAAGAAAAACACAUAUCAGGUGGUGAAUAAAAAUAUAGCUCCAAGUAAAGUUACCGAUGAACGAAGACGAAAGAGGGGAUACCAUCCAGGGCAUCCCCAAGCUUAGGCUCUUGGUUGUCCUUGAAUAUUACCUUGGGGUGCCUUGGGCAUCCCCAAGCUUAGGUUCUUUCCACUCCUUAUUCCAUAGUCCAUCGAAUCUUUACCCAAAACUUGAAAACUUCACAACACAAAACUUAACAGAAAAUCUCGUGAGCUCCGUUAGAAAAAGAAAAAAAAAACACCACUUAAAGGUACUGUAAUGAACUCAUUCUUUAUUUAUAUUGGUGUUAAACCUACUGUAUUCCAACUUAUCUAUGGUUCAUACCCUCCGAUACUACUCAUAGAUUCAUCAAAAUAAGCAAACAACACAUAGAAAACAGAAUCUGUCAAAAACAGAACAGUCUGUAGUAAUCUGUAACUAACGCAAACUUCUGGAACUCAGAAAAAUCUACCAAAAUAGGAAGACCUAGAUAAUUUGAUUAUUGAUCUGAUGCAAUUGGAAUCAAUAUUUUAUCACGUUCUUGUGAUUUUAAAAAAAAAUCGUGAACAGAAAGUUUCUGGAAUUUUCAGCAAGAUCAAAUAACUAUCAUCCAAGAAGAUCCUAUAGGUCUUACUUGGCACAAACACUAAUUAAAACAUAAAACCACAUCUAAACAGAGGCUAGAUAAAAAAUUUAUUAAUAAACAGAACCAAAAAGAAAGAACAAAAAUAAAAAUUGGGCUGCCUCCCAACAAGCGCUAACGUUUAACGCCCCUAGCUAGGCAUGAUGAUUUCAAUGAUGCUCACAUAAAAGAUAAGAAUUGAAACAUAAAGAGAGCAUCAUGAAGAAUAUGACUAGCACAUUUAAGUCUAACCCACUUCCUAUGCAUAGGGAUUUUGUGAGCAAAAAACUUAUAGGAACAAUAAUCAACUAGCAUAGGAAGGCAAAACAAGCAUAACUUCAAAACUUGAAGCACAUAGAGAGGAAACUUGAUAUUAUUGCAAUUCCUACAAGCAUAUAUUCCUCCCUCAUAAUAAUUUUCAGUAGCAUCAUGAAUGAAUUCAACAAUAUAACCAUCACAUAAAGCAUUCUUUUCAUGAUCUAUAAGCAUAUAAUUUUUAUUACUCUCCACAUAAGCAAAUUUAUUCUCAUCAAUAGUAGUGGGAGCAAACUCAACAAAAUAACUAUCAUGUGAUUGAAAAUUCAGAUCAAGAUGACAAGUUUCAUGGUUAUCAUUAUUCUUUAAAGCAUACGUGUCAUCACAAUAAUCAUCAUAGAUUGGAGGCAUGCUUUCAUCAUAGUAAAUUUGCUCAUCAAAGCUUGGGGGGCAAAAAAUAUCAUCUUCAUCAAACAUAGCUUCCCCAAGCUUGUGGCUUUGCAUAUCAUUAGCAUCAUGGAUAUUCAAGGAAUUCAUACUAACAACAUUGCAAUCAUGCUCAUCAUUCAAAGAUUUAGUGCCAAACAUUUUAUAGAUUUCUUCUUCUAGCACUUGAGCACAAUUUUCCUUUCCAUCAUUCUCACGAAAGAUAUUAAAAAGAUGAAGCGUAUGAGACAAACUCAAUUCCAUUUUUUUAUAGUUUUAUUUUAUAAACUAAACUAGUGCUAAAACAAGAAACUAAAAGAUUCGAUUGCAAGAUCUAAAGAUAUACCUUCAAGCACUCACCCCCCCCCCCCGGCAACGGUGCCAGAAAANNNNNNNNNNNNNNNNNNNNNNNNNNNNNNNNNNNNNNNNNNNNNNNNNNNNNNNNNNNNNNNNNNNNNNNNNNNNNNNNNNNNNNNNNNNNNNNNNNNNNNNNNNNNNNNNNNNNNNNNNNNNNNNNNNNNNNNNNNNNNNNNNNNNNNNNNNNNNNNNNNNNNNNNNNNNNNNNNNNNNNNNNNNNNNNNNNNUUCUCACGAAAGAUAUUAAAAAGAUGAAGCGUAUGAGACAAACUCAAUUCCAUUUUUUUAUAGUUUUAUUUUAUAAACUAAACUAGUGCUAAAACAAGAAACUAAAAGAUUCGAUUGCAAGAUCUAAAGAUAUACCUUCAAGCACUCACCCCCCCCCCCGGCAACGGUGCCAGAAAAGAGCUUGAUGUCUACUACGCAACCUUCUUCUUGUAGACGUUGUUGGGCCUCCAAGUGCAGAGGUUUGUAGGGCAGUAGCAAAUUUCCCUCAAGUGGAUGACCUAAGGUUUAUCAAUCCGUGGGAGGCGUAGGGUGAAGAUGGUCUCUCUCAAGCAACCCUGCAAUCAAAUAACAAAGAGUCUCUUGUGUCCCCAACACACCCAAUACAAUGGUAAAUUGUAUAGGUGCACUAGUUCGGCGAAGAGAUGGUGAUACAAGUGCAAUAUGGAUGGUAGAUAUAGGUUUUUGUAAUCUGAAAAUAUAAAAACAGCAAGGUAGCAAGUGGUAAAAGUGAGCACAAACGGUAUUGCAAUGCGUUGAAACAAGGCCUAGGGUUCAUACUUUCACUAGUGCAAGUUCUCUCAACAAUAAUAACAUAAUUGGAUCAUAUAAAUAUCCCUCAACAUGCAACAAAGAGUCACUCCAAAGUCACUAAUAGCGGAGAACAAACGAAGAGAUUAUGGUAGGGUACGAGACCACCUCAAAGUUGUUCUUUCUGAUCGAUCUAUCAUAGAGUUCGUACUAGAAUAACACCUUAAGACACAAAUCAACCAAAACCCUAAUGUCACCUAGAUACUCCAUGUCACCUCAAGUAUCCGUGGGUAUGAUUAUACGAUAUGCAUCACACAAUCUCAGAUUCAUCUAUUCAACCAACACAUAGAACUUCAAAGAGUGCCCCAAAGUUUCUACCGGAGAGUCAAGACAAAAACGUGUGCCAACCCCUAUGCAUAGGUUCAUGGGCGGAACCCGCAAGUUGAUCACGAAAACAUACAUCAAGUGAAUCACGUGAAUAUCCCAUUGUCACCACACAUAAGCACGGCAAGACAUACAUCAAGUGUUCUCAAAUCCUUAAAGACUCAAUCCGAUAAGAUAACUUCGAAGGGAAAACUCAAUCCAUUACAAGAGAGUAGAGGGGGAGAAACAUCAUAAGAUCCAACUAUAAUAGCAAAGCUCGCGAUACAUCAGGAUCGUGCCAAAUCAAGAACACGAGAGAGAGAGAUCAAACACAUAGCUACUGGUACAUACCCUCAGCCCCGAGGGUGAACUACUCCCUCCUCGUCAUGGAGAGCGCCGGGAUGAUGAAGAUGGCCACCGGUGAGGGAUCCCCCCCCCCCUCCGGCAGGGUGCCGGAAUAGGGUCCCGAUUGGUUUUCGGUGGCUACAGAGGCUAGCGGCGGCGGAACUCCCGAUCUAUUCUGUUCCCCGAUGUUUUUAGGGUAUAUGGAUAUAUAUAGGCGAAAGAAGUCAGUCAGGGGAGCCACGAGGGGCCCACGAGGGUGGAGGGCCCGCCCAGGGGGGUGGGCGCGCCCCCUGCCUCGUGCUCUCCUCGUUGAUUCCCUCACGUGCACUCCAAGUCUCCUGGAUUGCUUCCGUUCCAAAAAUAACUCUCCUGAAGGUUUCAUUCCGUUUGGACUCCGUUUGAUAUUCCUUUUCUGCGAAACACUGAAACAAGGGAAAAAACAGAAACUGGCACUGGGUUCUGGGUUAAUAGGUUAGUCCCAAAAAUAAUAUAGAAGUGUUUAAUAAAGCCCAUAAACAUCCAAAACAGAUAAUAUAAUAGCAUGGAACAAUCAAAAAUUAUAGAUACGUUGGAGACGUAUCAUGCUUCACUUAUAUAUUUUGAGCUAGAUAAUUUUGCUCUAGUGCUUCAGUUAUAUCUUUUUAGAGCGCAGUGGUGGUUUUAUUUUAUAGAAAUUAUUGAUCUCUCAUGCUUCACUUAUAUAUUUUUUAGAGUCUUUUAGAACAGCAUGGUUAUUUGCUUUGGCUAUAAAAUUAGUCCUAAUAUGAUGAGCAUCCAAGAUGGGUAUAAUAAAAACUAUCAUAUAAAGUGCAUUGAAUACUAUGAGAAGUUUGAUUCAUUAUUAUUGUUUUGAGAUAUGAAGAUGGUGAUAUUAGAGUCAUGCUAGUUGAGUAGUUGUGAAUUUGAGAGAUACUUGUGUUAAAGUUUGUGAUUCCCGUAGCAUGCACGUAUGGUGAACCGUUAUGUGAUGAAGUCAGAGCAUGAUUUAUUUAUUGAUUGUCUUCCUUAUGAGUGGCGGUUGGGGACGAGCGAUGGUCUUUUCCUUCCAAUCUAUCCCCCUAGGAGCAUGCGCGUAGUACUUCGUUUCGAUAACUAAUAGAUUUUUGCAAUAAGUAUGUGAGUUUUUUAUGACUAAUGUUGAGUCCAUGGAUUAUACGCACUCUCACCCUUCCACCAUUGCUAGCCUCUCUAAUACCGCGCAACUUUCGCCGGUAUCAUACACCCACCAUAUACCUUCCUCAAAACAGCCACCAUACCUACAUAUUAUGGUAUUUCCAUAGCCAUUCCGAGAUAUAUUGCCAUGCAACUUUCCACCGUUCCGUUUAUUAUGACACGCUCCAUCAUUGUCAUAUUGCUUUGCACGAUCAUGUAGUUGACAUCAUGUAGCGACCAGACCUCAAACAGUCUAGUCUCUGUGCAUCAGUGUCAUCCCUGGAUCGGUAAUGCUGACACGCACAGUACUUGAAGGAUUUAUAACAGAGUAGAAAUCACACACUUAUUACAUCGAAUAGUCUCAAGAGAGAACUUAUUACAAUAAAUAUGGCUUAAGGCCAUCUAAUACGAUAACAGCGGAAGGCUUGGAAGAUAAAGUGAGUCCAUCAACUCCAACGACAUCAUUGAGUAUAAGACCACGACCUAUGGCACCUUAAUCGUCGUCUAAAAAGUCUGCAACAUGAACGUUGCAGCCCGAAAACGGGUCAGCACAUGGAAUAUGCUGGCAAAGUAACACAUAGAGAGUAAUGAGCAGAAUAAUGCUAACACUACAUGCAUAUUUGGCUGGUGGAAAGCUCUAUGGUUACAAUUUUGCGAAAAGCCAAUUUUUUCCUACAACAAAGGAAUGAAAUUUUAUUUAACUAUUAUGGUGGUUGUUAAACAUUGAGAAGGUUCACCCAACUCAAUCCCAAUUAAGCAAUCUUCAAUAAACCCAACAAAUUUAAUUAAGUAGCAUGAUGAGAUUCACAUGAUAAUCCAAAAACAAGAUACUCAAGAUGUCCAUAACCGGGGACACGGCUAACCAUGAUUAGAUUGUACACUCUGCAGAGGUUUGCGCACCUUUCCCCACAAGACUCGGUCUCCUCCGUUGGAUUUCUCGCACUUCAUGAUGUUUGAGAAACGGAUGACCGAGACACAGUCUUUCAGAAGCGUUAGCACCUUACGAUGGGUAGACAUUUACACCUACUUUCCCCUACAUCUGCUAGUCUACCACUGUAAGAGUUCACACGACUUAAUCAACUAUGCUAGAGCCCAUAAUAGCUUGUGGCUGCACAUGGAAGUUUCUAGCAUGAAUAAUCUCAUGAUCCCUUUGAGCCUGGGUGGUGGUCCAUAGGAGAAUCACACGGUACCCCGGGAUUUCCAAAAAAACAGGCAACACUGGGUUCCCCAGGUGCCUCAAUGCACCCAGAUGUGUAUUUAAGUAGCCACCUUAAGUUAACCAUUAAUCAACAAUCUCACAUCUGUCAUGUAAUCACUCAAACCCAAUCCACGUCUAUGAGCAUAGCAUAGCAAUAUAAGCAAACGUAGAAGUAACUCCCAAGGGUUUGAUAAUAAAACAGGUAAUAGGUACUACCUCAUCUACUUCCCAAAACCCACAAAUUAAACAGAUCCUAACCAUGCAAUAGUUUGAGGGUUGAUCUAAUGCAGUAAAACUGGGUGGUAAAGAGGUAUGAUCAAAGUGUUACUUGCCUUGCUGAUGAUCCAUGAAACCUAGAGACUCGUAGUAGCACGCUUCGCACUCCGGGUACUCUAUCGCAAACAAACAAUACAUACAUAAGCAAUCAAGCAGGGGUGCACGGGUAAAACUCAAAUGAGAGAUCUAACCAGGAAGUUCAACUUAAGAACUCCGGUUUGCAAAAAGAAUCCAAUCGAACGAAGCAACGAAACUCAAACGGCGAAAGAAACAAGCUCCAUUUACUAAUCUGGACCUAAGUCAAUUUUUACUGGACCAAAAACUUGUUCAAGUUGGUUAAACAGAAAGAGGGUAUCGAGACAAAACUCUAGGCGCUUGAAUCGCCUGAUUACGAUAAACGAGCGAAAAGUUAUACUAAAACAAAAAACAAAUCGGAAAUCGCGAUCGAAAAUAUUCGCGAAAAUUCCGAGAAAAAGAAAAACCGACGAACAGGCUAACGAACGAACGUUCGCUGUCUGCGGCUAAACGACGAAAACUGUUCGUUAAAACGAACGUACGGACGAACGUCCGCUAAAUAACUAAACCGAUAAAAAUAUAAACCGAACCAAUAAAAAACGGAUCUAGGUUUUUAAAAAACGAACGGUUUUAUAAAAAAACGGCGGCGGCUACCUCGAGUCCGGCGAGAUCUCCGGCGAGGCGGCGAGGUGGCGGCGGGGUCCGGCAGGGUCGGCUAGGGGCGGCAGGGCGGACGGCGGCNNNNNNNNNNNNNNNNNNNNNNNNNNNNNNNNNNNNNNNNNNNNNNNNNNNNNNNNNNNNNNNNNNNNNNNNNNNNNNNNNNNNNNNNNNNNNNNNNNNNNNNNNNNNNNNNNNNNNNNNNNNNNNNNNNNNNNNNNNNNNNNNNNNNNNNNNNNNNNNNNNNNNNNNNNNNNNNNNNNNNNNNNNNNNNNNNNNNNNNNNNNNNNNNNNNNNNNNNNNNNNNNNNNNNNNNNNNNNNNNNNNNNNNNNNNNNNNNNNNNNNNNNNNNNNNNNNNNNNNNNNNNNNNNNNNNNNNNNNNNNNNNNNNNNNNNNNNNNNNNNNNNNNNNNNNNNNNNNNNNNNNNNNNNNNNNNNNNNNNNNNNNNNNNNNNNNNNNNNNNNNNNNNNNNNNNNNNNNNNNNNNNNNNNNNNNNNNNNNNNNNNNNNNNNNNNNNNNNNNNNNNNNNNNNNNNNNNNNNNNNNNNNNNNNNNNNNNNNNNNNNNGGCGGCGGGGCGGCGGCUAGGGUUAGGGUUGGCGGCGGCGGCUCGGGUGGGCUGGGGGCGCCGGGGUCGUGGCUUAUAAGGGCCGGCCCGAGGAGUCCCGCUCGGGUACGGCCCGGAGUCGGUUGACUUUUUUUAAAAAAAACAAUUCGAACGUGCACAAAAAGAAAGAAAAGAAAUACUAAACGGACUCCAAAAAUCCCGAAAUAAAUUUUCCACGUCCUGUAAAAAUAAGCCGGACAAGAUGAACAUUUAUUUGGGCCUAAAAUGCAAUUUUGAAAAACGCAUAUUUUUCCUAGGCAAAUAAAAUAGAAAUAAAAUCCGAAUAAAAUCAAAAUAUUUGUUUUUAAUAUUUUUCCUCCAAUAUUUCAUUAUUUUUGGAGAAGCCAUAUUAUCCCCUCUCAUGUAUUUUGAUAUGAAAUAUUUUCGGAGAGAAAAUAAUUAAAACAAAUGAUCCUCGUUUCGAUAUUUGAUAAAAUUCAAAUAUGGAAAUCGUGAAAUCUCCAACUCUCUCCGUGGGUCCUUGAGUUGCUUAGAAUUUCGAGGAUCGCAAACCGAAAUGCAAUAAAAUAUGAUAUGCAUGAUGAUCUAAUGUAUAACAUUCCAAAUUGAAAAUUUGGGAUGUUACACAUCGUAUUUGUGGUAAAGCCACCGUUCAUAAUUUUUCAUAAAUGUCACUCUUGAAUCAUUGCACAUCCCGGUACACCGCCGGAGGCAUUCACAUAGAGUCAUAUUUUGUUCUAAGUAUUGAGUUGUAAUUCUUGAGUAGUAAGUAAAUAAAAGUGUGAUGAUCUUUAUUAGAGCAUUGUCCCAGUGAGGAAAGGAUGAUGGAGACUAUGAUUCCCCCACAAGUCGGGAUGAGACUCCGGACGAAAAAAGAGGCCAUAAAAAAGAGAAAGGCCCAAAUAAAAAAUGUGAGAAAAAGAGAGAAGGGGCAAUGCUACUAUCCUUUUACCACACUUGUGCUUCAAAGUAGCACUAUGAUCUUCAUGAUAGAGAGUCUCCUAUGUUGUCACUUUCAUAUACUAGUGGGAAAUUUUUCAUUAUACAACUUGGCUUGUAUAUUCCAAUGAUGGGCUUUCUCAAAUUGCCCUAGGUCUCCGUGAGCAAGCAAGUUACAUGCACACCCACUUAGUUUCUUUUGUUGAGCUUUCAUACACUUAUAGCUCUAGUGCAUCCGUUGCAUGGCAAUCCCUACUCACUCACAUUGAUAUCUAUUGAUGGGUAUCUCCAUAGCCCGUUGAUACGCCUAGUUGAUGUGAGACUAUCUUCUCCCUUUUGUCUUCUCCACAACCACCAUUCUAUUCCACCUAUAGUGAUAUGUCCAUGGCCCACGCUCAUGGAUUGCGUGAAGAUUGAAAAGUAUGAAACAAUUGCUUGGCUUGUCAUCGGGGUUGUGCAUGAUUAAAUACUUUGUGUGAUGAAGAUAGAGCAUAGCCAGACUAUAUGAUUUUGUAGGGAUAACUUUCUUUGGCCAUGUUAUUUUGAGAAGACAUGAUUGCUUUAUUAGUAUGCUUGAAGUAUUAUUGUUUUUAUGCCAAUAUUAAACUUUUAUUUUGAAUCUUAUGGAUCUGAACAUUCAUGCCACAAUAAAGAAUUACAUUGAAAAUUAUGUUAGGUAGCAUUCCACAUCAAAAAUUCUGUUUUUAUCAUUUACCUACUCGAGGACGAGCAGGAAUUAAGCUUGGGGAUGCUUGAUAUGUCUCCAACGUAUCUAUAUUAUUUUAUUGUUCCAUGCUAUUAUAUUAUCUGUUUUGGAUGUUUAAUGGGCUUUAAUAUGCUCUUUUAUAUUAUUUUUUGGACUAACCUAUUAACCGAAGGCCCAGUGCCAGUUUCUAUUUUUUUUGCCUAUUUCAGUGUUUUGCAGAAAAGGAAUACCAAGCGGAAUCCAAACGGAAUGAAACCUUCGCGAGGAUCUUUCUUGGAACAAACGCAGUCCAGAAGACUUGGAAUUGAAGUCUGGAACUCCGCGAGGUAACCACAAGGCAGGAGGGCGCGCCCAGGGGGUAGGCACGCCCCCCACCCUCAUGGGCCCCACGGAGCUCCACCGACGUACUUCUUUUGCCUAUAUAUACUCUUAUACCCUAAAAACAUCAGGGAGAGCCACGAAACCACUUUUCCACCGCCGCAACUUUCUAUACCCGUGAGAUCCCAUCUUGGGAACCUUUCCGGCGAUCUGCCGGAGGGGGAAUCGAUCACGGAGGGCUUCUACAUCAACACCAUAGCCUCUCCGAUGAAGCGUGAGUAGUUUACCACAGACCUUCGGGUCCAUAGUUAUUAGCUAGAUGGCUUCUUCUCUCUCUUUGAUUCUCAAUACAAAGUUCUCCUCGAUGUUCUUGGAGAUCUAUUCGAUGUAAUACUUUUUGCGAUGUGUUUGCCGAGAUCUGAUGAAUUGUGGAUUUAUGAUCAAGAUUAUAUAUGAAUAAUAUUUGGUUCUUCUCUGAAUUCUUAUAUGCAUGAUUUGAUAUCUUUGCAAGUCUUCGAAUUAUCGGUUUAGUUUGGCCUACUAAAUUGAUCUUUCUUGCAAUGGGAGAAGUGCUUAGCUUUGGGUUCAAUCUUGUGGUGUCCUUUCCAGUGACAGUAGGGGCAGCAAGGCACGUAUUGUAUUGUUGCCAUCGAGGAUAAAAAGAUGGGGUUUAUAUCAUAUUGUUUGAGUUUAUCCCUCUACAUCAUGUCAUCUUGCUUAAUGCGUUACUCUAUUCUUAUGAACUUAAUACUCUAGAUGCAUGCUAGAUAGCGGUUGAUGUGUGGAGUAAUAGUAGUAGAUGCAGAAUCGUUUCGGUCUACUUGACACGGACGUGAUGCCUAUAUUCAUGAUCAUUGCCUAGAUAUUCUCAUAAUUAUGCGCUUUUCUAUCAAUUGCUCGGCACUAAUUUGUUCACCCACCGUAAUGCAUGCUAUCUUGAGAGAAGCCACUAGUGAAACCUAUGGCCCCCGGGUCUAUUUUACAUUACAUAAGUUUCUGAUCUAUAAUUCUAGUUUCCUAUUUAUUUUAUUUUGCAACCUUUACUUUUCAAUCUAUACAACAAAAAUGCCAAAAAUAUUUACUUUACUAUCUUUAUUAGAUCUCACUUUUGCGAGUGACCAUGAAGGGAUUGACAACCCCUUUAUCGUGUUGGUUGCAAGGUUCUUCAUUGUUUGUGCAGGUACUAGGUGACUUGUGUGUAAUCUCCUACUGGAUUGAUACCUUGGUUCUCAAAAACUGAGGGAGAUACUUACGCUACUUUGCUGCAUCACCCUUUCCUCUUCAAGGGAAAACCAACGCAUGCUCAAGAGGUAGCACAUAUGGAUCUGACUGUCUCCACAAUCCGAGACCUGCAUCUUUCCUCUCUUUCAUGUUUUCAGCAACUGGAUGAUUGUCAUCAUGAUCAGGUAACUUUGGCUUGAGCUUUCUAAGCACUUGGGCUUCAUCAUCUUCCUGAACCUCAGGCACUGGGGCCUUGUUCUUUUAUGCAGCAGGAAUGUUUCUUGUACUUCUCUUAGGUGCAGUCUGCUUUGGAGCUUGUGAGGAUUGCUUGGGAGCAGUCUUGGGCUUAGGAGGAGCAGCCCCUGACUUGAUUGCAUCUCCCAUCAACUUCUGAGCUUUGGGAGCUGGUGCAGCAGCUUCUUCUUCAUCCUCAUCCUCAUCUUCAGGUGGGUCUUUCAUCAUUGAGGAUCUGCCAGUCACUCUGGCAAUGGUCUUUUUGACCCUUUCCUUUCUCUUCUUGCCUCCAGCAGCUUCUUCUUCUCUUGGCUCAAGAGAGAAUUCAAUGGUUUCCUGAGUUGAAGCUCUAACUUUUGACAUAGGCUUCCUCUGAGCAGGAGCCUUCUUCUUCAUGCCUGGCUUAAUGCCAGCAGCAACAACAACUUGCUCUUUCUUGAUCAACUUCUUCUUGGAAGUGACCUCUUCCUCGGCAACAUAAUCCUCAUCUUCAGAAUCUGAGGUUUUCUUCUUCCUCUGCCUAGUUGCAGCCUUAGGCAGAUUGUUGGGUGUGCUUCUGCUUCCAUCAUCUGAGCUGCUUGAGGGACUAGUGCCCUCACUGAGGUUUUGAUGCUCCUCUGGCCUGUUCUGGCUGUCACUCUGGUCUGACAUAGCUGAAACUGACCCUGUGAACAGAUGGGUAUAGGUAGAGUAGAUGAGCAUCACAAAGUACAGCUGUUUUGGAAAAAAGAAUGACUCAAAAACUUAAUUUUAGUUUUCUGCAGAAAGCAUUUCAAAGCUACCGAUAUGACAAACUCGGUGACGCCAAAGCAGCUUUAAAGUCUAAACAAGUGAAAUCGGUCAGACCGAGACACAGUUCGGUGACUUCGAGAUGCUAGGGUUUCACUGAGAAAGUAAACUCGGUCACACUGAUUCGUACACUUCGGUCAGACCGAGUAGUACAUGUGCAAUGGCCUGGGCCAAAUCGGUGAGACCGAAUCUUUCAAAUCGGUCGAUCCGAGAUCAGUUCGGCGGGAACCUAACCCUAAGUUUUUGGAUCAAAACUAAUCUAAAGGAAGUUUUAAUUGGAUAAGACUGUUUCAAUCGUGGCAAGAAUCAUGGCAUUGUCUUUGUGCUAAGAAUCAGAGUGAAGAAAGCACAAAGGGUCGAGUUCAUACCCUAGCUUGGUGAUGAACCCGCUACGGCGACAACGACGGCGAAGAUUUCCGUUGACGGUAGAGGACACCAGUGGCAGGAGCUCGCGGGCGAUGAGGAGACGAUCCGGAGACCACGAAUCGGCAGAGUUGGACAGGGCGGGCGAAGGGUUUGGAGAAAUUUCCAAAUUUUCAGCCCGGGAAUAUAUAUCAGACAUUGUCGGUGUGACCGAGUGGAACUACUCAGUGGCAUCGAGAUGCAGAAUCGCAAGCAGUUGCUGCAACUCGGUGUGACCGAAGGGUUCAAAUCGGUUGCACCGAGAUUAAAAACCUAGAUCAACUUAAUGAACUCGGUAUGACCGAAUGGAAUGGAUCGGUCAGACCGAAAUGCACUAAGAGGUUUUGGAAGUUAAGCCCUUGACGGAUCGGUGAUACGUCUCCGUCGUAUCUAUAAUUUUUUGAUUGUUCCAUGCCAAUAUUCUACAACUUUUACAUACUUUUGGCAACUUUUUAUACUAUUUUUUGGGACUAACAUAUUGAUCCAGUGCCCAGUGCCAGUUCAUAUUUGUUGCAUGUUUUUUGUUUCGCAGAAAAUCCAUAUCAAACGGAGUCCAAACGGGACAAAAACUUACAGAGAUUGUUUUUGGAAUAUAUGUGAUUUUUGAGAAAAAGAAUCAACAUGAGACGAUGCCCGAGGGGCCCACAAGGACGGAGGGCGCGCCCCUGGUCCUUGUGGCCACUCCGUAAGGCGGUUGGUGCCCUUCUUCUGGCGCAAGAAAGCUAAUAUCCGGAUAAAAAUCUUGUUAAAAUUUCAGCCCAAUCGAAGUUAUGGAUCUCCGGGAAUUUAAGAAACGGUGAAAGGCCAGAAUCUGGGAGCGCAGAAACAGAAGGAAACAGAGAGAGAGAUCCAAUCUCGGAGGGGCUCUCGCCCCUCCACCACUAUGGAAGCCAAGGACUAGAGGGGAAACACCUCUCCCAUCUAGGGGGGAGGUCAAGGAAGAAGAAGAAGAAGAAGAAGAAGAAGAAGAAGGGGGGCUCUCUCCCCCUCUCUCCCGGUGGCGCCGGAACGCCGUCGGGGCCAUCAUCGUGCCAACGAUCUCCACCAACAACUUCACCGCCGUCAUCACCAACUCUCUCCCCCUCUAUGCAGCGGUGUAACACCCCUUCUCCCCGCUAUAAUCUCUACUUGAACAUGGUGCUCAAUGCUAUAUAUUAUUUCCCAAUGAUGUAUGGCUAUCCUAUGAUGUUUGAGUAGAUCCGUUUUGUCCUAUGGGUUGAUUGAUGAUCGUGAUUGGUUUGAGUUGCAUGUUUUAUUAUUGGUCUUGUCCUAUGGUGCUCUACAUGUCGCGCAAGCGUGAGGGAUCCCCGCUGUAGGGUUUGCAAUAUGUUCAUGGUCUGCUUAUUGUCUGCGUUGCGUGAGUGACUGAAACACAAACACGGAUAGGUGGGUCAUGGCGUAUGGGAAUAAAGAGGACUUGAUACUUUAUUGCUAUGGUUGGGUUUUACCUUAAUGAUCUUUAGUAGUUGAGGAUGCUUGCUAGAGUUCCAAUCAUAAGUGCAUAUGAUCCAAGAAGAGAAAGUACGUUAGCUUAUGCCUCUCCCUCAUAUAAAAUUGCAAUAAUGAUUAACGGUCUAGUUAUCGAUUGUCUAGGGACAAAUAACUUUCUUGUGACAAACAACUCUCUACUAAAACUAACUUAGUUGUGUCUUUAUCUAAACAGCCCCUAGUUUUUAUUUACGUGCUCUUUAUUAUCUUGCAAACCUAGCCUACAACACCUACAAAGUACUUCUAGUUUCAUACUUGUUCUAGGUAAAGCGAACGAUAAGCGUGCGUAGAGUUGUAUCGGUGGUCAAUAAAACUUGAGGGAAUAUUUGUUCUACCUUUAGCUCCUCAUUGGGUUCGACACUCUUACUUAUCGAAAGAGGCUACAACUGAUCCCCUACACUUGUGGGUUAUCAAGACCUUUUUCUGGCGCCGUUGCCGGGGAGCAAUAGCGUAGGGUGAAUAUUCUCGUGUGUGCUUGUUUGUUUUAUCACUAAGUAGUUUUUAUUUUCUAUUCUAAGUUGUUUUCUAUCUUUAUUUAUGGGUAUGGAACACGAAACACCGAAAAAAUUAGGUCUACUUGCUACUCAUGGAGAUGGGGAACCUCCUAAAACCCUCGAUGCUCAUUAUGUGAAAGAUAUUAUGCACUACUUUAAUAAUCCUGAGAAAACCCCAUUCAAUUAUGUAAUGGGGGACACGUUGGAUCAACGUGAAUACUUUAGGGAUUAUCUCUUGACUCAAAAAGGGAAACUAUUAUGGGAUCAAAUUCAUAUGUUGCAUUGGUAUGCUCGGCAACUAUGCUUGAGAUAUGAUUAUACUUGUUGCUCUAGGAUGAAGGCUCCACACCUUCCCUUUUCAUGCAAAUUUAACGAUAAUGAAACCUUAGCUUAUUAUGCUAAUGGUAUAUAUGAUUACUAUGAUGUGGAACGAAUAGAAGAAUUUGUUACUUUCAAGGGUGCUUAUGAAAUUGAAUCUUUGUUUCUAAGUAUGAAGCUUUUGAUGAUGAUGUUUAUAGGCCUGAAAAUUUUGCUAUACUUAAAUUUGCUAUGAGAAUUAUGAAUAUAAUACCGAUAUUGAUGCAUUUAUUGAGAAAGUCUCUGCUGUCCAAGAAGAGAAUAAUAUUUUGCAGGAAACUAUGGAAGAAGAAAUUGAUGACACUGUGAGCUCAUUAGAUGAAAAAGAUGAGGAGGAGAGCGAAGAACAAAAGGAGGAAGAGCAGAUUAGCUACCCGUGCCCACCUUCUAAUGAUAGUAACUCUUCAACUCAUACAUUGUUUAAUUUCCCUUCGUGCUUACCGAAGGAUGAUUGCUAUGGUCUCUUUGAUUCGUUUGAAAUAUCCCUUUUUGAUGAACUUGAUGCUUGCUAUGCUUGUGGCCAUGAUGCCAAUAUGAAUUAUGCUUAUGGAGAUGAACUUGCUAUAGUUCCUUAUGUUAAGAAUGAAAUUGCUGCUAUUGCACCCACGCAUGAUAGUCCUAUUAUCUUUUUGAAUUCUCCCAACUACACUAUAUCGGAGAAGUUUACGCUUAUUAAGGAUUAUAUUGAUGGGUUGCAUUCUAAUAUUGCACAUCAUGAUUUUGAUAAAUAUAAUAUGCAUGUGCUUGUUGCUCCUACUUGCAAUUAUGAGAGAGGAACUACAUCUCCGCCUCUCUAUGUUUCCAAUAUGAUAAAAUUGCAACAAACUGUUUAUACUAUGCCUUGGCCUUUACUUUGUGUGCAUGAAAUGUUCUUUUAUGACAUGCCGAUGCAUAGGAAGAGAGUUAGACUUCGUCAUCGCAUGAUAUAUGUUACUUUGUGCUCACUACUAAAUUAUAAAUCAUUCUUAAUUAAAAUUGGCUUUGAUAUACCUUGGGAUCGGGGUGGAUCCAUUACUUGAGCACUAUAUGCCUAGCUUAAUGGCUUUAAAGAAAGCGCUGCCAGGGAGACAACCCGGAAGUUUUAGAGAGUCAUUUAUUUCUGCUGUGUGCUUUUAUAAAGUUUAAAAAAAUAAAGAGGGGAACCUAAAACUUUUUCAAAAAGAAAAGUGAAAGUGAGAGAGACGAGCAUUGCUAAAGUGGGAGCAUGCCUUGAACUUUGUUCAUGCCCAUGGAAACUUUGUGAAUCUUAAUUACAGAAAAUUUUAAAAAAAAUAAGUAUCCCCUUGUAUAAAUCCAUUGUAUUAUAAAAAUAAUGUGCCACGAUUUGCCUUUAGGAUAAUUAGAUUGCUUGUUUGGUUUGUGCAGUGCAAAAACAAAAACUUUGGCUGUAGCGCGUGAAUUUUUAUUUUUUACUGGAACGUCGAAUGUUUCUGAAACUUUUUGCACAGUACUUCUAUACAAAUUUUUUAUUUUGUCCUAAAUUUUCAGAAUUUUUGGAGUUACAUAAGUAUGGUUGAUGUUUAGAUUACUACAGACUGUCAUGUUUAAGACAGAUUCUGUUUUUGAUGCAUUGUUUUGCUCGUUUUGAUGAAACUAUCGAUUGUAUCGGUGGUAUAAGCCAUGAAAAAGUUAUAUUGCAGUAGAUAAAAUGCAAAAAUAAAAUAUGAAUGAGUUGCAACAGUACUUAAAGUGGUGAUUUGUUUUAUGGACCUCACGAGGGUUUUUGUUAAGUUUUGUGUGAUCGAAGUUUUCAAGUUUUGGGUGAGAUCACGAUGGAUGAAGGAAUAAUGAGUGGAAAGAGCCUAAGCUUGGGGAUGCCCGAGGCACACCAAGGUAAUAUUCAAGGACUCCCAAGCAACUAAGCUUGGGGAUGCCCCGGAAGGAAUCCCCUCUUUCUUCUAACGAUCAUCGGUAAUUUUACUUGGAGCUACAUUUCAUGAUAUGCGCAAAUCUUAGAGCGUCGUGUGCUUUUUAUUUUUCUUUUAAUAAUGCACCAUGCUGGUAUGAUAUAGUCCUUGGUUGAUUUAUAGAAUGCUCUUUGCACUUCACUUAUAUCUUUUGAGUAUGGCUUUAUAGAAUGCUUCAUGUGCUUCGCUUAUAUCAUUUGAAGUUUGGAUUGCUUGUUUCCCUACACAUAGAAAACCGCCAUUUGUAGAAUGCUCUUUUGCUUCACUUAUAUUUGCUAGAGCAUGGGCAUAUCUUUUGUAGAAAGAAUUAAACUCUCUGGCUUCACUUAUAUCUAUUUAGAGAGUUGACAGGAAUUGGUCAUUCACAUGGUUAGUCAUAAAAUUCUACAUAACUUCUAGAUCACUGAAUAUGAUAUGUUUGAUUCCUUGCAAUAGUUUUGCGAUAUGAAGAUGGUGAUAUUAGAGUCAUGCUUGUGAGUAAUUGUGGGCUGGUAGAAAUACUUGUGUUAAGGUUUGUGAUUCCCGAAGCAUGCACGUAUGGUGAACUGUAAUGUAACAAAGUCUGAGCAUGAUUUGUUUUUUAUUGUCUUCCUUAUGAGUGGCGGUCGGGAACGAGCGAUGGUCUUUUCCUACCAAUCUAUCCUCCUAGGAGCAUGCGUGUAGUACUUUGUUUUGAUAGCUAAUAGAUUUUUGCAAUAAGUAUGUGAGUUCUUUAUGACUAAUGUUGAGUCCAUGGAUUAUACGCACUCUGACCCUUCCAUCAUUGCUAGCCUCUUCGGUACCGUGCAAUGCCCUUUCUCACCUCGAGAGUCGGUGCAAACUUCGCCGGUGCAUCCAAACCCCGUGAUAUGAUACGCUCUGUCACACAUAAGCCUCCUUAUAUCUUCCUCAAGACAGCCACCAUACCUACCUAUUAUGGCAUUUCCAUAGCCAUUCCGAUAUAUAUUGCCAUGCAACUUCCAUCAUCAUCAUAUACAUGACUUGAGCAUUCAUUGUCAUAUUGCUUUGCAUGAUCGUAAGAUAGCUAGCAUGAUAUUUCCAUGGCCUGUCCAUUUUUUGAUAUCUUUGCUACGCUAGAUCAUUGCACAUCCUGGUACACUGCCAGAGGCAUUCAUAUAGAGUCAUACUUUGUUCUAAGAUAUUGAGUUGUAAUAUCGAGUUGUAAGUAAAUAAAAGUGUGAUGAUCAUCAUUAUUAGAGCAAUGUCCUAGUGAGGAAAGGAAGAUGGAGACUAUGAUUCCCCCACAAGUCGGGAUGAGACUCUGGACGAAAAAAAAGGAAGCGAGGCAAAAAAAGAGCCAAAAAAGGAGAAAUCAAAAAAAUGAGAGAAAAAGAGAGAAAGGGCAAUGCUACUAUCCUUUUACCACACUUGUGCUUCAGAGUAGCACCAUGUUCUUCAUAUAGAGAGUCUCUUGAGUUAUCACUUUCAUAUACUAGUGGGAAUUUUCAUUAUAGAACUUGGCUUGUAUAUUCCAAUGAUGGGCUUCCUCAAAUGCCCGAAGUCUUCAUGAGCAAGCAAGUUGGAUGCACACCCACUUAGUUUUCAGUUUGAGCUUUCAUACACUUAUAGCUCUUAGUGCAUCCAUUUCAUGGCAACCCUACUCCUCACAUUGACAUCAAUUGAUGGGCAUCUCCAUAGCCCGUUGAUUAGCCGCGUCGAUGUGAGACUUUCUUCCUUUUGUCUUAUCCACACAACCCCCACCAUCAUAUUCUAUUCCACUCAUAGUGUUAUAUCCGUGGCUCACGCUCAUGUAUUGUGUGAAAGUUGAAAAGGCUUGAGAGCAUUAAAAGUAUGAAACAAUUGCUUGGCUUGUCAUCGGGGUUGUGCAUGAUGAAAUACUUUAUGUGGUGAAGAUGGAGCAUAGCCAGACUAUAUGAUUUUGUAGGGAUAACUUUCUUUGGCCAUGUUAUUUUGAAAAGACAUGAUUGCUUUAUUAGUAUGUUUGAAGUAUUAUUGUCUUAAUGUCAAAUGAUAGACUAUUGCUUUGAAUCACUCGUGUCUUGCUACUCAUGCCAUGAUUAGAUUAUAUGAUCAAGAUUAUGCUAGGUAGCAUUCCACAUCAAAAAAAAAAUUAUCAUUUACCUACUCGAGGACGAGCAGGAAUUAAGCUUGGGGAUGCUGAUACGUCUCCGUCGUAUCUAUAAUUUUUUGAUUGUUCCAUGCCAAUAUUCUACAACUUUUACAUACUUUUGGCAACUUUUUAUACUAUUUUUUUAGACUAACAUAUUGAUCCACUGCCCAGUGCCAGUUCCUGUUUGUUGCAUGUUUUUUGUUCAACAGAAAAUCCAUAUCAAACGGAGUCCAAACGGGAUAAAAACUUACGGAGAUAUUUUUUGGAAUAUACGUGAUUUUUGGGAAAAAGAAUCAAUGCGAGACGAUGCCCGAGGGGCCCACGAGGACGGAGGGCAUGCCCCAGGGGGUAGGGCCCGCCCCUGGUCCUUGUGGCCACUCCGUAAGGCGGUUGGUGCCCUUCUUCUGGCGCAAGAAAGCUAAUAUCCAGAUAAAAAUCUUGUUAAAAUUUUAGCCCAAUCGGAGUUACGGAUCUCCGGGAAUUUAAGAAACGGUGAAAGGCCAGAAUCUGGGAGCGCAGAAACAGAAGGAAACAGAGAAAGAGAUCCAAUCUCGGAGGGGCUCUCGCCCCUCCACCACUAUGGAAGCCAAGGACUAGAGGGGAAACACCUCUCCCAUCUAGGGGGAAGGUCAAGGAAGAAGAAGAAGAAGGGGGGCUCCCUCCCCUCUCUCCCGGUGGCGCCGGAACGCCGUCGGGGCCAUCAUCGUGCCAACGAUCUCCACCAACAACUUCACCGCCGUCAUCACCAACUCUCUCCCCCUCUAUGCAGCGGUGUAAUACCCCUUCUCCCCGCUAUAAUCUCUACUUGAACAUGGUGCUCAAUGAUAUAUAUUAUUUCCCAAUGAUGUAUGGCUAUCCUAUGAUGUUUGAGUAGAUCCGUUUUGUCCUAUGGGUUGAUUGAUGAUCGUGAUAGGUUUGAGUUGCAUGUUUUAUUAUUGGUGCUGUCCUAUGGUGCUCUCCAUGUCGCGCAAGCGUGAGGGAUCCCUGCUGUAGGGUUUGCAAUAUGUUCAUGGUUUGCUUAUUGCCUGCAUUGCGUGAGUGACUGAAACACAAACACGAAUAAGUGGGUCAUGGCGUAUGGGAAUAAAGAGGACUUGAUACUUUAAUGCUAUGGUUGGGUUUUACCUUAAUGAUCUUUAGUAGUUGUGGAUGCUUGCUAGAGUUCCAAUCAUAAGUGAAUAUGAUCCAAGAAGAUAAAGUAUGUUAGUUUAUGCCUCUCCCUCAUAUAAAAUUGCAAUAAUGAUUACCGGUCUAGUUAUCGAUUGCCUAGGGACAAAUAACUUUCUUGUGACAAAUAGCUCUCUAGUAAAACUAACUUAGUUGUGUCUUUAUGUAAACAGCCCCUAGUUUUUAUUUACGUGCUCUUUAUUAUCUUGCAAACCUAGCCUACAACACCUACAAACUACUUCUAGUUUCAUACUUGCUCUAGGUAAAGCGAACGAUAAGCGUGUGUAGAGUUGUAUCGGUGGUAGAUAAAACUUGAGGGAAUAUUUGUUCUACCUUUAGCUCCUCGUUGGGUUCGACACUCUUACUUAUCAAAAGAGGCUACAACUGAUCCCCUAUACUUGUGGGUUAUCAAUCGGUGACUCCGAGUGCUCCUCACCCGGAGGGUCCGAAUUCGACUUGUUCAAACUUUGUGAUGUAGCAUGAAUAGAGUUUGAGACGAGAAAAGCAUAGAUAGCUAGAGGGAGUGCUUAGGCAUUCUUGUCCAUCCAUUUGGCAAAAAGAUAAAGCCAAGCAAUCAAAGCAACCAAUGGAUGUCCUCGAAUGAGAAAAAUAUGCAACCAACAUGCUCACACAAUAAGAUAGCAAAUAAAAUAUGUGGCAAAGCAUGCAUAAACAUUCUAGCAUCUAUCAAGCAAUUGGCGAUGACUAGGUCAUCUAUAUAUGAGUAUAUUGACUUAGGAGUCAAAUGAGAACAUUUGAUCAUAGGUCAUACUCGUCGUUUAAGCACAAGUGGAGUUACCACUUUUACAUAAAGCAUUAUUGUGUUCACACCAUUGUCCUCGAAAUCAAUGGACGUGUCCGGGUCAUCAUGAAAUCCUGGGUCGUUAUCAGGGGGAUGGUUCUCCAGUUGAGGAGAGGGGCAGCUGAUGGACUCGACCUAGAACCUCCAAUUCUAUUCGGAAAAAUGAUAGAUCCGGUCAGUAUACGGAAGAAAUGUCCGGACUGUGAAACGAAAGUUGAACUUACCCAUUCUAUGGGGUUAUAGCUCGCAUAACCCUCAAACGGGAAAAUUCUUCUUCACAUUUGAAGAGAUCGGCUAGAAUGGCAGCCAUAGCCGCCUGGUUAUCCGGCCCCUGCCAUUUGUAACGGGUCGCGUCAUUUGUCCCAUUAUAGCACCACAGGGGGUUCAUCCUUUGUUGAAGAGGUUGUACGCACUGAGCGAUGGCGGCGGCCAUCACGUCAACAAUGGUUAACUUGCUGUGGGUCAGUAGGCGAACCUUGGUGGCCAAGCUCAGCACUUCAGCACAUUCUUCCAGGGAAGUUCUUUUUGGCUGCCAGUUGAACCGCUUCUUUAGAGGAGCAUCUGAAUAUUCGGACAGACCCCUUCGUACUGGUUUGGAUAAGGGAACGUCUUCGAUAUAAAACCAUUCUGAGGUCCACUCUUUCGAAUCCUUCUUCGGGGUCCCAAUAGGAUACCCGGUCCCCGCUAUACUCCAUACCUCGGCUCCGCCUACUUCCAAAAUUGACCCUCCACGGGCGCGGGGGGCGAGGCGGAAAUAUUUCCUCCAUAACUCAAAAUGCGCCUCGCAGCCCAAGAACAUCUCGCAAAGGGCGGUGAAGCCGGAGAUGUGCAAUAUGGAUCCAGGGGUGAGGUGGUGAAGCUGGAUCCCAUAAAAUUCCAGCAAGCCCCGCAGAAAGGGGCGAAUGGGGAAGCCUAGACCUCGUAGAAGGAAAGGCACGAAACAUACUCUCUCUUCCUUGCUUGGGGUAGGGAAGUUCUCCGCGAAGGCCUUGCCGUCCACAGAAGUUAACCCGGAACGAACAGAUACGAGAUCUGCAGCGGGGAGAUAUCCUUGCGUUUGGAGAUUGCUCAACUGGGGGUGUGAAACUAAGCAGCUAGCCCAGACACCCGGGAGAGGGCCAUGGGGGCGUGAGGAUGAACCUGGGGCGCUGGCCAUUGGAUCCGAGAUUUCUUUAGUUUGGUCUUGGCCUUUUGCUUUGGAUGGAUUAAUCAUCCGUCGCGCUCCUGACCUGUUAAAUAGGUACGCUUUCUGGUCCCAUAGGGGCAUUUCUAUAAAAGAACGUUGGACUGUUCGCCUCCUGACGGCGCACGGAAAUCAAGGGUUGUCUUUAGCCCUUGAUGAAAAUUAAUACCGAGGGUCCUACAAUGACUUAACGAAUUGGGAGGUCAUCGGUGGCCGAACUGCUAAAACUGCCAAAUAAGGAAGGGGUGAAGAGCUCGCCUCGCAAGCCAAAGACUUUGGGGCACACCGGGCGGCCGGCAAUCGCGAAUCCCGGCGCUAGAGGCUAGUUCGGGGGCUACUGAGGGAGACCUGGACUAGGGGGUCCUCGGGCCGCUGCCUCGUCUCUCAUGGGCCGGACAGGUGGGUCGCACUACAAUUGCUAGAAGGUCGGACUACGAGGUGGUUUCGUGUUCGGGUAGGAGACCAUUGGAGUAUUGGUGUGUCAUCCAAGUCAAGAUAGAAGAUUCAGCAUGUUUAUUCUCUUGUUGUAACCGACUAUAUGUAGCCCUAGCACCCCUGGUGUCUAUAUAGACCAGAGGGUUUAGUCCGUAGAGGCUAGAACAACAACCAUCAUCCUACUAGCCUAGGGUUUAGUUCAUCUAAUCUCGUGGUAGAUCGACUCUAUAACCAUCCUAUACACCUCAAUAUAAUCAAGCAAGACGUAGGGUUUUACCUCUUAGAGAGGGCCCGAACCUAGGUAAACAUCGUGUCCUUCGUCUCAUGUUCCCCAUUGAUCCAAGAUCCACAGCUCGGGACCCCCUACCCGAGAUCCGCUAGUUUUGACACCGACAGGGUGCGCAAUGUGUAAAGCAACACUGAGUGAAUCAAUCAAUCAAUCAACAAGUUGAGCAAGAAGAAGCAAAGCUUACGUUCUCCACGGCUGUCGAGCACAAUAGCCACCUUGCCUCUAGCCGAUCAACUGCGUCAAAACUUAGCGACUAUGGUCUGGAUGGUGUACCAUCGAUACGUUAACGACUUCACAUUGCGUUCAUGAAUGAUGAGCAUGUAGUAGGGUGUUGUGUGCUUUUGCGUGUGAAACGAAUCAUGCACUCGCUGCCAGAAGAGCCCCCUUCUUCUCCUUCCUACGAAAUCCACGGAUAUGACCAAUCACUCACCGCACAAAAACUCAUCCUCCGUGAUCGAGUACCCCAUCAUCCUUCAUAAUCUAAAAAACUAACAUGAACUUCAAAAUUAAGCUCAAUCACAUUUGACCUAAUGUACGGCGUGGUGACCGCCAUGGACGUCGUCGACAGGGGGCAGAGGGUACCUGGCUGCAGACAAAUCCUGGGAGGAUAGAGCCAUAGUACAAAGCGAGCGGGCACGUGGGUGGUGGUUGCGGAUGUCCGGCAAUGCAUGUGUGACGGUCGGAGAGGUACAUCGACGGCGUCGGAGGAGGAGGGCGCUAAUGCAAAGCAAGACGGAGCAUGGGCAGACUGAAAGAGAAUGGGAUCGGGAGGGGGAUUUGACUGGGUCGGGGGUGUCGGAGUCCUAUGUGGCUAUUGUUCGGACUACCGCACCCCCCCCCCCCGGCCUGGUCUGCUUCCAAUUUACGGGAAAAGUGCGUCCGGACCGGUCAACGGACCGAUACAGGCUCGCGUUGGAUGGCAAAACACGUUCGGACUACGUGGUCCGAAUGGAUGCGGGCGGUUUGAGGGUCCGCUUUGAAGAUGCCCUUACAUAGUAAUGUUUAUACCUAGAAAAUAAAGCUAUUGCUAUGCUCAUAAAUGCUGCCAGCAUCGGCCUGUAUCGACUUUUAGUCCCAUGAGCUCCUUUGUAAGAGAAUUAAGCUUAAUUCGAAGGGCAAACAUUAUCCAUUCUAGCACACAAUGGUUUUGCUAUGAUGGAAGAAGAGAGCCUUUUCAGUAACUAUCGGGCUUCGAGUUCUUCAUAGUCCUACUCCCAAAUUCCUUGAAGAAACUGGUACAUAAAUGCAUCCUAGUCGAACCAUUGUUCAUCUAGGAUGUAUUCUACAGAAGUUUCUUCAAAGAAUUUGAGAUUUUGAUUAAGAACUCGAAGAGUGACAAGCAAAACUCUUCUUCUUCUUCUUCUUCUUCUUCUUCUUCUUCUUUAAAAUAAACAUCAGGCUUUAUUAAUUAGAUAUAACGGUUACAUCGUCAAUAAGGAGAGAUACAAUAUCAUCCAUGGGCUCCUCAACCAAUCCCUAGUCGCAGAAAAUUUCGCUAGCCUAGCAAGUUCAUGAGCAAUCUUAUUCGCUUCCCUAUUACAAUGUUCAAACCUAGUAAUAGUAAAUUCACAAGCCAUAAAAUAGCAAUCAUCGAACACUGUCACCGCCGCUCCCGCCAAUUGUGUCCUCCAUUUUUCAUUGAGUCAAUCACUUCCAUAUUAUCCGAGUUGACAAUAAGGCGAUUGCACCCCGCUUCUGUGCAAGGGUAAGGCCAAACCUUAGUGCUGGUGCUUCUGCUGUUUGUACAUUAGCACACCAUCAAUCCUCCAACUUCCUCCAACAAUGAACCUUCCUUUGUCAUCUCUGAGGACCGCCCCCGCCAUGCCUCUAAGAAGAUCAUGGUCAAAAGAAGCAUCAACAUUUAGCUUUACAAAACCCAUAGGAGGUUGCCUUAGGGGAGUUUGCUUUAACAUAAUUUGGUAUGCAUCUUGAGACUUUCCUUCAUGAACUAGUUUACAUCUAUCCCCAUAAGUAUCAAGCUUUUAUAAAGAUCAAUUCACGUGCGUUCUGAAGGCCCUAUACGGAUAUUUCUUGAUCUAGCAUAAGUAGUAAAAGUUCAAGAACUAUCUCUCCCGCCCGGUCGACAACACAAGCUCUAUUGAUCACCUCAUACAAUCCUAAGUUAUCCCAGACCUCUUUCGCCUCCUGACACAGAAACAAGACGUGGUUUGUGUCUUCUGGCCCAUUUGAACAUGAUGGGCAAAUGGGCAAGACUUUCACAUGUCUAUUGGCGAGCAUAACACGACAUGGAAGGGUUUGAUGCAAUGUACGCCAGAUGGAGAUUUUUACCUUUGCCAGACAAGAUAGCUUCUAGGUCUUGCUCCUGAUAGGAUUAGCAUUGGUUCUACCCAUAAUAUUUGUAUGUUGCAAUUUCCUCCCAUACUGUUGGUUUCUAUCCUCCCAAUAAGCCGAUCGAGCAGUGAACAACCCACUUUUUGUGUAACUCCAAGAGGAAUGUAGAUACCGCCUUGCUUGGGGUUUGAUGAUAGGGUCAUGGUGAUGUCCAUGGAUGCUUUGCAUCAUGUCAACGGUCCACCUGAGCUUGUGGGUUUGAUGUAUGCAAUCGUCUAACUGCCACUGCCGAAAUUGAAAGACACGCCACCAGGACAAUUUACGUGUUCUUAACGGUACACAUAUACUCCCUCCGUUCCAAAAUAGAUGACUCAACUUUGUACUAAAGUUAGUACAAAGUUGAGUCAUCUAUUUUAGAACAGAGGGAGUAGUCACCAAGUUUGUGGGAUUCCAGGAAGCAAACACGAACCAAAAAAGGCGCAACAGUUCACAACCAAAGCAACUUCGCCGGAUUUGAGAAACCAAACAGCAAACAUAGAUAGAGCCAGCAAAAUGCAUAGAAACAUCAAGUAUAAGCACUGUAAAAUUAAGACGGACAAGUUGAAAGCCAACUUAUAACACAACUUUCAGUCUCCCUCUCCCUCAUCACAAUGUCGAUAGCAGAGAUAACAAGUUCAUCUAGAAAAUCCUAAAACACAGGUUUUUGUCCAUAGGGUAGAUAUAGCAGAUCGCAUCAGAUUCUAGAUAUCCAUUCAUGCCUCACAAAAUAUGAACUUUAAGCCGCAAAGACAUCUCAAGGGGACAUCCUAGUCUACUCCCAGCCUUGAGCAGGGGGUUGCACCGCGGCGUCCCAGCCAGUAGCAGCCACAACAGGAGCAGGGACAGCACCUUCCACAGCAACAGGUGCCCCUGCUGCAUCCCAUCCAUCACCACCAGCAACUGGAGCUGGAAUUGACAACAACAAACAAAGAUGUGAUCAAUUUAAGUUGCACAACAAAAUAUUCAACUAGGCCUUGGCAUAAACUACUAUAAUUUUGGAAUGGACACUGGAAACAUGCAAUGUGUCUAACAUUAGUCAAGACAUCAGGGCAAACUGU
RNAcentral lists this long non-coding RNA (72646 nucleotides) under Triticum aestivum (bread wheat). Its description in RNAcentral is "long non-coding RNA (TAES_LNC004826)". The record is from RNAcentral. Lineage: Eukaryota; Viridiplantae; Streptophyta; Magnoliopsida; Poales; Poaceae.